RNAcentral lists this long non-coding RNA (48280 nucleotides) under Vigna radiata. Its description in RNAcentral is "long non-coding RNA (VRAD_LNC007687)". Lineage: Eukaryota; Viridiplantae; Streptophyta; Magnoliopsida; Fabales; Fabaceae. The record is from RNAcentral.
UAAGAAUUAUCCAUAAAGUUAUAAAAUUAUUUUUACGGAUUAAAUUAAAUCCAUGAUAAUAAGUGUAUAAACUAAAUCAAACCAACAACUUUUAUUUAUUAUCAAGUGCACAAAUCACACGGUGAUAGGAAACAAACAUCGAAACGAAACACAAACAUUAAGACAUGUUACAUUAGGACAGGAAACAGGCAUCCAAUCCCAAUGUUAGAUUAAAGAGAAAGAAACAAACUUUGGCAAUGGAAGCCUUAUUCGUAGCAUAUUAUAACACCAUUUAUUGAGAUGAGGCUCACGAGAAUGAAGGCUUGUUUAGUUCACAGGCAAAAUGCCAUUAAGAACAGACCAACCAUCAAGGAUAAGCUUGAUAUCACCGAUAAGAGUGUCAUCAUAUGUACCUGGGCUGAAUUUGAAACGCACAUACUUGUCUCCUUUGAAAAGGUAAGCUUCAGACUCCUUAUGAGAAGCAAAACACGCAUCGAUUCCACUUUCAAAGAUGGUACCAUUCAGAACAGGAAAGCCAUCAGCGAUGUUGCGAAUGCUGCCAACAAGCUGCUUGGAAUCAUAGUCUAUGCGAACAUACUUAGUGCCCUUGAAUAAGUAAACUUCUUUUCCUAUGGUGGAUCUAAGUGCAGAGUCUAUGCCAUCCGCAAACACCGUGUUUCUGAGGACAGGAAACAUUUGAGCAAUAGUGGUAGGACCUGCGAGUAUCUUGUCAUUAUGUGUACCUGGAGCAUAGUCUAUGUAGGCACAGAUGUUGCCGGAGAACACGUAUGCUUCACUCGCUUCAGUGUCAAAGGAAGCGUCUAUUCCAGGUUCUGCAAAUGGUGUUCCUGCAAGUGAUGGAAAACCACUACUAAUCAAGGUGAGAUUAGUUAAAAUCUCAUCAUAUCCUCCGGGAGUGUAUUUCAAGCGCACAUACUUGUUCUUGGCGAAGAAAUACACUUCAUAUUCUCUUGAUGAACGAAGUGCAGCAUUGAUAUAAGGGUCUGACAUCUUUCUCGACAAAAGAAGAGGAAGUAAUUGUAUAGAGAGAUAUGAUUUAAGGAUGCUUACAUUCCUCUCCGAUACACCUAUUUAUACUGUUGUGGAGUGGGAAUUUCUUUACUUGCCAUUACUUUAAUUUUGUCUAUUUUCUAAUACUUUAAUUAAUUAAAUAAUUUAUUAUAAUAUCUUAGCUGAAUAUAAUUAAUUAAAUAAUUUAUUAUAAUACUUUAAUUAAUUCGUUGCCCACUUAACAGAAGGCCAUGACAAGAAUUAAACGGAGAAUAUAUUGCAGAUAAUUUUGAAGAUAAUGAUAUAUAGACAACAUUUUUUUGACAACAUUUGAACAUUGAUUACGUGUCAAUUUGUGAUUGGUCAAAAAUUACUCCACAAUCACAAUCAUAAAUUGGAUAAUAACAAUAGUGUUUAUGAUUAUUAUUAUUGAUUGUGGAGUAAUUUUUGACCAAUCACAAAUUGACACGUAAUCAAUGUUCAAAUGUUGUUAAAAAAAUGUUGUCUAAAUAUCAUUAUCCAAUUUUGAAAGUGAUGGCGGGCUUAUGAAAACAAAUGUACGAUGUGAUUCUGUUAAUUGUUAAUUCCACUCGCACGUUGUCGUAAAGAAACAUAAAUGAUGGAGAAUGAGGAUGCAACAUUGUAUGGACGUAUCUGUACAUAAAGCACGUGACGAGAUGUGAUAUUGAUAAAAUCAAAUAGGCAAAAGCAAAUUUAAUAAUUGUCCUCUCUCUUGCCACUGAUAUUGAAAGCUACCACACCAUCCUAUACCCAAAGUUUUAAUUUACAUAUAUAACUGCAGAAUUAUCUAUAAAAAUACGAUUAAUUGGAAAUAAAUUUGCAUGCUUCAUUGUAUAUGAAUUUAUGAAUGUAAAACUAAGAAAAAACUGACCAUCAACAUAAUAAUAUUUUGUAUAUUUUCCAAGAAAUUAAAUAAAUAAUGAUGUUAAUCUUCUCAUCGAAAUGACAGACCUAUAUAUAUAAAUCUUGCUGUAUUUUCUCACGUGUUUGGGAACAGCUUUCAAUUUUUGUCCGGUUGUUUGUGGUCCAAUUUCUUAGCUUUUUAAGUUAAGUAUCGCUCAUCCUUUGAACCUUAACCCCUCCUAGUCUCAAUAAUUAUAACAUGCACAAAAGUUUUAUAUAUAUAUAUAUAUAUAUAUAUAUAUAUAUAUAUAUAUAUAUAUUAUAAUAAUAAUAACAUAAAUGAAGCUAUUUAUAAUUUUACUUAUAACCUAGAUAAUUUACUUUUAUUAAUAUCUCCACAACAAUCUAAAAGUGUUAAUCAUGUUUAUCAUAAAUUUGAAGGAGAAUGUCAUGUAUAAAAGUAAUUAAAAAAUGAUCUAAAAAUUAGAUGAAAACUUUUAUUUAUUAAUUUUUUUCUACUAAUAAAAUUUGUAGAAAAAUAUUAUAAUUUAUUUAUUUUUUCAUUAUCUUCCAUUGUCGUAUGUUCUCAGGUUUACUUUAUUAUUGUUAUUAUCGCCAUGUGGCGUGUCUUUAGCUCUUACUCAUCUUUUUUCAUUGUUGUUGUACUGUUGUCACUUUCAUUUUCGUGGUCACUCCUCUUCUUUUUCUCAUAAUUCUUCACUUCUUAUUUUCACAUACCUCUAUAUAGUUAUUAACAAAUAUUUUUAUUGAUAAUUAGUACUUCUUUUUGGAUAAUGUUUAUCUAUCUUCUCUGCAUUCCGUACUAUUUAAUCUGUAUAAAAUUUGUUUAAAUAUGUUUUAUGUUUUUUCUUAAAAAAAGUUUUUCUUCCUCCUCCAAAAUAGUGUCUUAAGAAAGUUAUAAAAAGUGAUCUCAUAAGUUUUGACUGCAUUUACACAAAUGUUCAUUUGAAAGGUACGUGGCAAUAAAAGAAAGUGAACACCUUUUUCACAUAAAUAUUUAGUUUUACGUACUAUCAACAACAAGGUGGUCCCAAACGUUCCACUACUUCUCAUACUUUUUCAUUCGAUUAUUGUUCUUGUAUAUUAAUGAAGGUGACAACAAGAAGCACAACACGUAAUUAUUGGCAGUAGACCUGUCAAAUAACUCCUUAUAAUAGGUCUUGGUUCUAGGUCAUGUGGAUUGGGGUCAAAAAAACCCUUAGGGCCAAAAAAGCUCUUUAUUAAAAAAGUUUUGAGGGUUAAAAAACUUCAAAGUCCUGUAGGUUAGGGUCAGCUCAUGGAUUUUCUUUUUUACAAAAAAAAAUAAAUAUCCAACAAUAAAUUGCAUUUUUCUAGAAAAAAAGAACAUUUAUGUUAAGUGUUAUAACUUGAAAAAUACAUGUAAGCAUACAUGUAAGCAUCUUUCUUUUACUUUAAUAAAUAUUUUUACAUAAUUAUUAAUUAGAAAAUAAUAAAUAGGAUUUCAUAUUUUUCAUCCCUAAAUUUGACGUUAAAUUGAAAUUAGUGUAUAUUAUAACCUUUCAAAAAUNNNNNNNNNNNNNNNNNNNNNNNNNNNNNNNNNNNNNNNNNNNNNNNNNNNNNNNNNNNNNNNNNNNNNNNNNNNNNNNNNNNNNNNNNNNNNNNNNNNNNNNNNNNNNNNNNNNNNNNNNNNNNNNNNNNNNNNNNNNNNNNNNNNNNNNNNNNNNNNNNNNNNNNNNNNNNNNNNNNNNNNNNNNNNNNNNNNNNNNNNNNNNNNNNNNNNNNNNNNNNNNNNNNNNNNNNNNNNNNNNNNNNNNNNNNNNNNNNNNNNNNNNNNNNNNNNNNNNNNNNNNNNNNNNNNNNNNNNNNNNNNNNNNNNNNNNNNNNNNNNNNNNNNNNNNNNNNNNNNNNNNNNNNNNNNNNNNNNNNNNNNNNNNNNNNNNNNNNNNNNNNNNNNNNNNNNNNNNNNNNNNNNNNNNNNNNNNNNNNNNNNNNNNNNNNNNNNNNNNNNNNNNNNNNNNNNNNNNNNNNNNNNNNNNNNNNNNNNNNNNNNNNNNNNNNNNNNNNNNNNNNNNNNNNNAAGUUUUGGAGUGAGACUAAAAUUUAAUUAAAGUUUUGGAGUGGGACUAAACCCACUUUAACCCUGACCCUAACCCACUUGAGAGGGGGUUUUGGGGAUUUGGACUUUUUUCUGACCCCCUACUUAAGAGGCUUCUUAAAAUAGGGUUUUUUCAAUAGUGGAUUAGAAUGAUCCUGAGCCAUGGGUUAAACUAACACCUCUAGCCACAAAAAAGAAAUUUAAUUUUGCANAUAUUUUUUCUAACACAAGCAAUUAGUAUCUUUAACAACAAUUAUUCUUUUUAUGUAAAUGUUUAGAAAAGGAAGAAAUGCAAAAGGACAAAAACCUUAAUUCGAGCUCAGAGUAACAAAAUAUUUACAUCAACCUUGGGGCUACAUUCCCGAUAGCAUUACCCAGGGGGCACCAAGCCAAGGAUAAGAUCAAGAAAUCUAUAAAUUAAAUAUUCCAUGAAUGUAUGCAAACAGAGAGCUAAAACUUCUGAAAUAAAUGACCCNAAAACAAACAAUCCAAGAGUCUAAAACAGAGAGCCAAAAGAUAUUGCAAACAUUUUGAAAUAAGUCUAAAAUAUUUCCAUCAGGUUUUUCAUUCUGCAUUUCUUCAUUAACAACAAUCGCAUCAUUCUUCGAAUGUUUACUAUAAUUUUAACCUACUAGAAUCAUGUGUUAGAAUUUAUUUGAUAUAAUGUGUUAUGUAUUAUGAAGAUAUUUGUUUUUUUUUUAUCUAUUGUGAUCAGAUCACCGUCUAAUUUCAUAUUCAAUAUAUAUAUAUAUAUAUGGGGUUUGUUAACACGCGUACGCCUGUUUUUCAGUUGGUACGUUUUAACAAUGUGUACCGGAUUAUAAUAGACAAAAAUAUCCUCAUUUAUCAUGGAUUCUAAGUUUUAAAGUAAAGGAUAUUUAAAUAAUUUUCAUUCUCAAAACUAAAAAAAAAAAACACGAAACCCCCAAACUCUUACUCACCUCCCUCAUUCCUCUCAACCCUUUCUCUUUCAUCUUUCUCACUCCAAUAUUUUCUCUGUCAUUCCUAUUUCCUAUUGCUCGAAUUGAAAAAAAAAUCAUAACUUUUUCCUUUCUCUGUUGGUAUGGGAUACAUGAUGUAAGAUUACAACCUAGAAUUGAAAGAAUUGUACUCCUAGGAAAUUCUUCUAUAUCAAUUUCUUUAAUUCCCUUAUGUUCCUUUUUUAUCACUGAAUCAACUUCUACAGGCGUUUAGAAUAAACUUUAACCACUGUGCAAGAUAAAAACUAGUAAAAUCAUUUUUUAUCUUUGAGAUUUGGGAAGAGUAACAUAAAAUGACAAAUUUUAUAUUCAUUUUACACACAUUAAUAAAUAUAAAAUGAUUAUAAAAGAGUAAACUUUUUCAAUUUUUAAAAAAUAUCUCUGAUUCAAAUUGCUACCACCAUCUUCAAUUGGGUUGAGAUAAGAGAAAAAAUGUUGGAAUGAUGACAGAGAAAAUGUUGAGAUGAGAGAGAAAAUAUCUCUGAUGACAAAGGGUUUCUGAUUUUUUUUUAAUUGGGGCAACAGUAGGGAUGACAGAGAAAAUGUUAGAAUGAGAAAGAUGACAGAGAGAUGAGAGAGAAAGGGUUGAGAGGAAUGAGGGAGGUGAGUAAGGGUUUCAGGGUUUCUUUUUUUUUUUUUUUAGUUUUGAGAAUGAAAAUUAUUUAAAUAUCUUUGACCUUAAAACUUGAAUCCAUGAUAAAUGAGGGUACUUUUGUCUACUAUAAUCCGGUACACAUUGUUAAAACGUACCAACUGAAAAACAGGCGUACGCGUGUUAACAAACCCCUAUAUAUAUAUAUAUAUAUUUCAACACGAGAAUAUGAUGAAAGUAAUAUAUGUUAAAAGUUUUACAUUAACUAAAAAUAAAGACAUGUCAUAAUAUGUAAACGAUUACAAAUUUUAGUUUACAAACUAAUUUUAUAAAAUUAAAUUAAAUUUAAAAUUUAUUUUCUACCAUUUACAUGAUUAAAAAUAAAGUUUAUCAUUUCUAACCGUAAUUGAUAAUUGAUGAUUUUAUUUAAUUCAAUCACGAUUACCAUUUAUAAACUUUCUUAAAUAGUAGUCUUUAAAACAUUAUCACUCCUCCAAAAUCUACUUUAUUUAUUUGUACCAUUUAGCCAUCGAAAGAUAAUACAGUUAUAAAAUAUGGUUAUGGAGACUUUCCCUCUUUGUAGCAAAUUAUUAGAGUCAUCUGUACUAAAAGUUACUUUUUGAUGAUAAUUAUCUAUUUUAAGGAUUAAGUUAAAUCUAUAAUAAGGUUUAAUUAUUUAGAACAUUUUUAUUUUUGUAGGGUUUUCUCAAUUAGGUCCUCGUAUUGUAAAAUCUCUUAAUUAGGUCACUAAUUGUGAAAAAUUGGAUCAAUUUAGUGUUUACUGUUAAAUUGAGUGGAUGACGUUAAAAAUUGAUGUAUGUGGCAGGGUCACAUUAGCAGGUUUUAUUGAUGUGGCAGAUUAUAGUGAAGUGAGUUGGAUUUGUUUUAUUUAAAAAUUAAUUUUUCUUCAAAUAAAAUGAUUGAAAACGCAGUAUUUAAAUAAAAUACAAUUACUAAAUGAAACUGCAUUGUCUUCUUCCUUGGGUGUCCUCUUCCUGAAAAUGCAUUGUCUUCUUUUUUGGGUGUCCUCCUGCUAGGGAUUUGGAAGAUACAGCGAUUUCACGUAGAUCAUUCAAAAAUAUUUUAUCUUUUCUGUCAAUCAGCCACAGGCAACCAGUGCCUCAUUUUCAUUUAUCCAAUACAACAUAAGAGGUUUAUAAAUUCCAGAAUCUUCAAAUCUUAAACAGUUCAUCCUCUUUUGUUGGGUAAUCUGAUUACCUUGGAAAGUCCAUUCCAAAGAAAUGAGAAGCCCAACCAGAUAGAGAAAAUUAGAAUUAGAGGACUCCCAAGCUAAAAAGAAUGCACCUUUGAUCACCAUCUCCUCAACAGAAAUAUGCCUUUGGAGGCCAAUAAGUGAAAUUUGGGUACAAGCGUUCAAGAAAUUAGGAACAAAGUACACACAUCUCAUUACACAUUUUUAACACUUAAUUAAGAAAUCAGGAAUAAAGUAUACGAAUUUACUCUUCCCAAUUCCCCUGAACCACUGCCACAGUGUGAUGGAUCAAUGUUCAAUUUCUGAUUCAAUUCCAAACCCUAACCAUAUCAAUUGCAUUGCCCUCUUUUCCCCCCUUCAAUGGCCAAUGUCUCUCAGUGAUAGCUCCUCUACAACCGCAACCCGAGCUCUACCCUAUGCUGUGGAAGCACGUCAACCUCGUCUGCACCAAAGUCGUCGUUGCGCCUUCGACGGCUCAGUCGUCGUCAUCUGUUGUGGGGUUGCGCGUUUUGGGGAUGUUGAAGUUUUGUUAGGCAUGGACAAUGUUGUGGUAGGAGGUUGGCGUGCAGAGGCUGGGGGAGGGAGUUUUGUGUGGACCGUUGCAGAAGAUGGUGGUUUCUCACGAGACUGUUAGCGGAGGCGGAGUUGGAGCAGCAAUAGUUGAGAAGGUGCUAAAGGUGUGUGGUUACAAAGAUUGGGUUUAAUUAUUUUAUCAGAAGUCAUAGUAUAAAUUAGGUUUAAUUAUUUAAAACUUGAAAUAAAAUAAAUUACACCUAAGAUGAACACGUACCACGUUAUUAAAAUUUGCUUGAUCAAUAUGUCAUGAUUUAUUAAAUUUAUCACCGUCUGCUGAAUUUAACGACAAAACUUUAAUUGACUCAAUUUUACAAAAAUAAUAACCUAAUUGAGAUAAAAACAAAAUACGAAAACCUAAUCGAGAAAACCUACAGAAAGGGAUGUUCUAAAUGAUUAUGGAGACUUUCCCUCUUUGUAGCAAAUGAUUAAAGUCAUCUGUAAUAAAAGUUACUUUUUGAUGAUAAUUAUCUAUGAAGUCAUACAAAUUAUUUUAAGGAUUAAGUUAAAUCUAUAAUAAUUAUCAAACCAAACCAAACCCACUUUAUUUAUUAAGUGUAGAAUUUACAUGAAGAUAGCAGAGAAACAUCGUACAGUAAAGGAAACACAAACAUUUGUUACAUUAGGACAGGAAACAGGCAUCCAAUCCCAAUGUUAGAUUAAAGAGAAAGAAACAAGCGUUGGCAAUGGAAGCCUAAUUCGUAGCAUAUUUUGACACCAUUUAUUCAUAUGAGGCUAAGUGGUUGAUAACGAUGACGAAAAUGACAGCUUUCGUAGGCCUAACAUCACCCACAUUCCUUCACUUAACUCUCCCAAAAAAACAUAUUUUGGAGUUGAACGCAUCUUAACAGUGAACUCAAUCCGCUUCCUUUCCGGAAUCAAACCUCUGAGACUGGGCCAUCCUUCAAGGAUAGGCUUGAUAUAACCCACAAAAGUGUCAUCAGUUGAACCUGGGGCGAGUUUGAUACGCACGUAGUUCUCUCCUUUGAAAAGGUAAAUUCAGGCUCCUUAUAUAUGAGAAGUAAAAUAUGUGAUGGAAGUCUCACAUCAAUUAGAGAUAAGACCACUUUAUAAUAUAUAAGUGAGGUACAGACCUCACCUUAGAAGCCAGAGUAUCCUGAGAGUAUCCUGUCAUUUAUUGUACCUGGAGCAUAGUCUAUGUAAACACAGAGGUUGCCGGAGAACACAUAUGCUUCACUUGCUUCAGUAUCAAAGGAACAGUCUAUUCCAUGUUCUGGCGUUCCUGCAAGUGAUGGAAAACCACUACUAAUCAAGCUCAGAUUAGUUAAAAUAUUAUCAUCAUCUGAUUUCCCAGGAGUGUAGUGCAACCGCACAUACUUAUUCUCCAUGAAGAAAUACACUUGAUUUUCUCUUGAUGAACGAAAAGGAGCAUUGAUAUAAGGGUUCGACAUCUUUCUUAACAAAACAAGAGGAAGUAAAAUAGAUAGAUAUGAGCUACGCAAGAGGACCAUCACAACCUUCUUUAGUCUCAAUAUAUAUGAUUUUAUUUAAUUUUUAUAAUAUCAAUACUCUUCUUGUUUAUCAAAAAAAAAAAUGCCAACACUAUUUAAAAACUAAUAUUAAAUAAAUAUAAAUUAUAAGGUAUUUCUUAUUUCUUAUGUAGUACAUCUAAUUAACAGUAAAAGAUAGUAAAUCGUCAUCAACUAACGCCCUUUCUGCUUUAAAAAAACAUCAAAUAAGGUAAAAAAGAAUAAAGAAAAAGAAAUCCAAAAUUUAUACCUGGAAACAAUGUUGCAUCCUCAUUAUCCAUCAUAUAUGUUUCUUUACGACAACUGUGCGAGUGGAAUUAAUAACAGACACACGUACAUUCGUUUUCAUAAGUCCAAGAUCACUUUCAACGUUAUCUGCAAUAUAUAUUCUCCAUUUAGUUUUUGUCAUGGCCUUCGGUUCAAGUGGGGAACCAAAAGGAGACCUACACUUUUUUUCUUCAAUUUCCUACCAAUUCUUCGUUUAUAUUCUUUACCAAUUGGACCACAAUAUUCUUUGCGUUAGAUCAGAAUAUAUAUAUAUAUAUACACAUUAGAAAAAUAUAUAAAAUUAAAGUAAUUCCAAGUAAGGAAAUUCCCACUCCACAACAGAAUAAAUAGGUGUAUCGGAGAGGAAUGUAAGCAUCCUUUAAUCAUAUAUCUCUAUACAAUUACUUCCUCUUCUUUUGUCGACAAAGAUGCCAGACCCUUAUAUCAAUGCUGCAUUUCGUUCAUCAAGAGAAAAUGAAGUGUAUUUCUUCGCAAAGAACAAGUAUGUGAGGUUGUAUUACACUCCCGGAGGAACUGAUAAGAUUUUAACUAAUCUGCGCUUGAUUAGUAGUGGUUUUCCAUCACUUAAAGGAACGCCAUUUGCAGAACCUGGAAUAGACUGUGCCUUUGACACUGAAGGGAGUGAAGCAUACAUGUUCUCCGGCAACAACUGUGCCUACAUAGACUAUGCUCCAGGUACAACAAAUGACAAGAUACUCGUAGGUCCGUACACAAUUGCUGAUAUGUUUCCUGCCCUCAAUAGCACGAUGUUUGCGGAUGGCAUAGACUCUGCAUUUAGAUCCACCAGAGGAAAAGAAGUUUACUUAUUCAAGCGCAAUGGGUAUGCUUGCAUAGACUAUGAUUCGAAGCAGUUUGUUGGCUCCAUUCGGAAAAUCACUGAUGGGUUUCCUGUGCUGAGAGAUACCAUCUUUGAAAAUGGAAUCGAUGCUUGUUUUGCUUUUCAUGAGGAGCCUGAAACUUACCUUUUCAAAGGAGAUAAAUAUGUGCGUAUCCAUUUUACCCCAGAUAAAACUGAUGACACUCGUCGUGUAGGUUUUAUCAGACCUAUCCUUGAUGGUUGGCCCAGUCUCAGAGGAUUAUCAGGCCCGGAUGCGUCUCCUGCUAUGCCCUCCAAACCUCCAAAUAAGUGAAGGAAUGUGGGUGAUGUCAGGCCUAUCCUCUCAGAGGCAUUGUGCCUGUCAACUACACAAUCUGUCAUUUUCGCCAUCGUCAUCAACCACCUUAGCCUCAUAUCAAUAAAAUGGUGUCAUUGCCAAAGUUUAUUUCUUUCUCUUUAAGCUAACAUUAUAGGAUUGGAUCGAUGCAUGUUUCCUGUCCUAAUGUAACAAAGAGUGCAUGUUUGUGUUUCCUUUACUGCACGAUGUUUCUCUGCUAUCUUCAUGUAAAUUCUACACUUAAUAAAUAAAGUGGGUUUGGUUUGGUUUGAUAAUUAUUAUAGAUUUAACUAAAUCCUUAAAAUAAUUUGUAUGACUUCAUAGAUAAUUCUCAUCAAAAGGUAACUUUUUAGUACACAUGACUCUAAUCAUUGCUACAAAAAAGGAUAGCCUCCAUAACCUUAUUUUAUACCUGUAUUAUGUUUCGAUGACUAAAUUGUUCAAAUAAAUAAACUAGUUUUUGGAGGAGCAAGUAAUAAUGUUUUAAAGACCACUAUAUAUGAAUUGAAUAAAAUCAUCAAUUAUCAAUUAUUAUCAUAAAUGAUAAAAUUUAUAGUCAUGUACAAUGUAAGAAAUAAGUUUUAAACUUAAUUUAUUCUCACAAAAUUAGUUUCUAAGAUGAGAUCCACUAAUGAAAAAUGACAUUUUGUGAAAUACAAAAAUGAAAUUUUAUGAUGUAGUUUUGGGCGUAAUAGUAAAUCUGCGCAUUUUAUGACGUAGUAAAAAUUUACGUCAUAAUAGUCUGAAUAUAUUAUGACGUAGUUUCUGAAAUCAGUCAUAAUAUACACGAAAGAUUAUGACGUACAUUGUUUUGUACGUCGUAACAUAUGCUUUUUUUUUAAAAUUAUUAUUACAAUUGAUAUCCAAUGAAAUUUAUAAUUACAAAUGGUACUGUUAGUUACAUGGAUCAGACAAUGCCUUGCAAAUGCUACAUGUAUUAGAAGUCAUGGAUGACUCAAACUAACUAUCUAGUCUAUCUUAUCCUUCAGUCCUUCAAUUAUUGGGUGAUCCCAAAUCAUGUACGAUGAAGGAGCCUAAUCUAUGAAGACAAUGUAUAGACAUAUACAUGUGAUUUAUUUAAUCUUAUAUCACUUAAAAUUAGUUCUAAGCCGACUGAUCUUUAUCGUCACUCUCAACGACCACCUGUGAGUAAAAAGAGGAUUAACUUCACUAAAAUUUGAUUGAUAAGUCGAAACAAUUAAAACAAUAACACUUAGCCAACGACUAUUCAAUUCAAAACCAAUUAAGAGUUGCAAUCAGAAUCUUUGACAUAACAUUCCAACACAUUAAAUUAAAGCUCUAGAAGUUAGAAAUACAGCUAUAACAACUCACAAUUCAGAUAUUGAUCUCUAACUUCUUUACCACUUAAUGCAAAGCAUUACAACCUCUGAUAUAUUCACAUAAAUUACUUAAUUUGAACCAUUUGUGCAUAAUAUUAAUUUAUGUUCUAUUAUUGAAAAGUGACACUACGACCUCAAUCAAUACCGAGAGAUUCUAAAGAAAAAAUGGUUGUACAACACAAUAUCUUAUUCAUAUUCAUCAUGCUAUCACUAUGAUUACUUUUUCAAGAAGCCAAAAGUUGAAGCUAGAUCAAGAAUGUUGGUAUAAUUAUCAAUUUCACUUUUAGCAACACCACAGAAAUAAACUCGAAAUCUAUUAGAUUUUAAUUAACGAAUAAGAUUAUAUAGCAAGAAAUGAAGAAUCACAUCAAAAAAAAGGAAGAGCUAAUGACAAUAUUAAUUGAAAAUAAAAUACUACACCAAAAACGAAGGAGACAGAGUAAACUACAACUCUUACUGUAACUUAUCUAUUCUCCUAAUUAGAAAUAAAAUACUAAAUAUUCCCAAUAAGUUAAAUGAAGGCAUAAAUAACAACUUGAACCUAGUAAAGUUUUUCAUUGUAGAACUAGGACUCAAAUAAGUGUAGAAAAUAGUAUAUUGACCAGCACAUGGAACACUAAAUAAUAAAAAAAAUCUAUGAAUACAUUAUAGAAAAAAUACCAUAACUAUUCACCUGGGCAUCACGCGGAUCAAUUUUUGUAGCUCUCCUAAUAAAGUCCUGGCCUUUAUCGGUUUGACCAAGCUGAACAUAUAUAUAUAUAUAUAUAUAUAUAUAUAUAUAUAUAUAUAUAUAUAUAUGCCCAAGCGCCUAGAAAAAAGACAAUAUAUAUCAACACAACAAUAUAAGAGAAGGAAGAAAGAACAUCCAGUGACAUAUGUUAAGCGACUCUUAUGUUGCUGCAAAAGCAUUCAAGCCGUAGAAAGAGAAAUGAUGUUAAAAAGGAAGAAAGUAAAAUUUCUUUCGAUUUGAAGAACUUACUUUCGAUGUCUCACAACUUUUCAAAGUUUGAGAGUGCCCUUUUAAAAUCUCUCAACUUUAUCUGCACUUGUCCCAGACUUGGAAACGUUAGUGAUUAAAACAGUGAAUUAGGUGAGCGAUGUUGAAGCAAUAAGCGUUUCAAAUUGAACCAAUUUUGUCAAAAUGAAGAUUUCAUAUAGGAUACCGAUGGUGGAGAAAGAUAGUUGUGGGGUAGUAAAAUAGAUUGUGAGAAUUACUAAAGUGAAAAAUCAAACACAUUAAUUUAUAAAUUAAUAUCAGAUAAUGAAAAUAACUUCUAAAUCACGCAUCAAACAAAAUCAGAAAAUUAAUGGUUGAUCGGUCGCACUAUUAUACAUCAAACAAAUCUAUCAUACAUCAUAAAAUCUAGAUUUGUAUUUGUUUAUAUACUUUGAAAUUGUUUAAACUCUAAUCAACGCGGAACUUCCUACACAUCUCAUCAUGUUAAGAUAUAUACGUUUUGAGUAUAGAACUAAACAUUAAUGGGUGUUCCAGUAAUAAAUAGAACAAUAGAUUCAACAAAAAACAAAUAUUCUAAUCAUAAGUGACAUAAUAUGUCAAACAAAUAAUAAAUUUUGUUAAAAUAAACUCUAACGCUUGACUCUAAUAUCAUAAUACAAUUACAUAUGGAUCUAUAAAACGCAUGACUUUAAAAUCAUCUCACUUAAUGACAAGUUUUCUUUUUCAAUUCCAAAAAAAAAUAACAAUCUUUUUCGAAUUCAAAUCUAAAUAAAUUUCAAUCUAAAAUGAUGUGAAAUUCUAAAGAAAAUUAAAAAAAUAUAUAUCAUACAAUCCAAAAUUAUCUUAAAUUUCAAAUAUAAUUGAAAAACAAACUCAUAAAACUAAAUUAGGUAGGUUGACGAACCAACCCAACUCACCACGGAUUCAACCCGGGUGAAUUGGGUUCAUAGUGGAUUGGACACAAAAUUAGCCCAUAUCAAAAUUUUAAUUUUUUCUUCAACUCAACCCGACUUAAACCAUAGUCAUUAGUACAAAAAUCGUAUACAACGUCGGUGUUUUUGGGCUUUUAACGACAAACUCGAGGUUGACAUCAUAUUGAGAGACGUUAAAGUAACAUCAAAUUAUAGAGGCUGACGUUAACAGUUUACAAAAAAUGUCGACCAAUACACAAAGUCGACGUCUAAUAUGUGACUAAAUACACAAUACCCAAGUGGAUGUAAAGGAUGAUUUGAUGUCCACUGAAAAGGUGGUGAGACAUAACAUUGAUGUCGAUCAUGAAGCUAUAUUCGACGUGAAUGUCGCUGAGGAGCUUGUCCAGCGGCACAUUUUUAUGGUUUUUGCAACUGGAAGGGGUUUAACGUCGAGUAUAGCUUCAAUCCGACGUCAACCUCCAUUAGUGGAAAAUAUACUUUUUAUAACGAUAUUUUAUACCUGUUAAAAUCUACCUGCUAUAAAAAGUGACGCAAUGGCAAUUUCGUAAAUAAAAUAAACUUUUCUACACCGGUUGUAAUAAAAUCAGGUAUAAAAAGUGAUGCAGUAGCAAAAUUAUAAAUAAUACAAAUAGCUUUAUACCGGUUGCAUUAAAAAUAGGUAUAGAAAAUCUUUUACUUUACAUAUUCAAUUUCACAUAUUCCUGGAGAGCUUCAUUCGUCUCCCUCGAGCUUCUUCUUCUUGAGACCACAACUUAUCAGGUUUUUCCUUUCACAUAAUCACUUCACCUUCUCCGAUCUUCAUUUCUUCUAUCGAGCUUCUUCUUCUUGAGACCACAACUUAUCAGGUUCUUCCUUUUUUCACCAUUUCAUUCGAGUUUGACCGAUUAAAACGACUUUUGAACCGAUCAAAUCCUUUCUCAUCGAUUAUUUUCAUUUUCCACUAAUUAAACCCUCAUUUGCUUCGAUCUAGUCCAUUUCUACCGAUUAAUCACUUGUUUUCACCGAUUAAUCAGUCCAAUCAAUCUCUCCUCACUAUUAAGAGCAGGAAACAUUUCAGCAAUUGUGUACGGACCUGAGAGUAUCCUGUCGUUUAUUGUACCUGGAGCAUAUAGUCUAUAGACACAGAGGUUGCCGGAGAACACAUAUGCUUCACUCGCUUCAGUGUCAAAGGAACAGUUUAUUCAAUGUUCUGCAAAUGGCGUUCCUGCAAGUGAUGGAAAACCACUACUAACCAAACGCAGAUUAGUCAAAAUCUUAUCAUCAUCUGAUUUCCCGGGAGUGUAAUGCAACCGCACAUACUUAUUCUCCAUGAAGAAAUACACUUGAUUUUCUCUUGAUGAACGAAAUGCAGCAUUGAUAUAAGGGUUCGACAUCUUUCUUAAUAAAACAAGAGGAAGUAAGAUAGGAAGAUAGCUUACAAGAGAGAUAUAUGAUUUGAUUUGAGGAUGCUUACAUUCCUCUGCCAGCCACCUAUUUAUAAUGUACAUGAAUGGGAAUUUCUUUACUUGAUAUUAAUUUAAUUUUAUGUUAUACUUACUUUUUCUAUUUUUCUAACUCAUUAAUUAAUUAAAUAAUUUAUUAUAGUAUCUUAGCUGAAUAUGUGAAAUAAAAUAUUCAAAUGUAUAAAAUAAUAGAUUCAUUCUUAUCUAACUAAAAGAAUAUUGUAUUCGAUUUGGUUAAGAAUAUAAACGAAUUCAAGAACAAUCCUUUUUUCUCCCCAUUUGAACUCAAUGCCAAGAAAUUAAAAAGAGAAUAUAGUGCAGAUAGAACUUCGAAAGUGAUUGUUAUAAAUACGAAUACAUGCUCUGUGUGUUGAUUCCACUCACACAGUAGUCCUAAAGAAAUAUAAAUGAUUGGAGAAUGAGGUUUAUUCAAUAAGUUUCUUGCUGAAAAUUACCAUUAUACAUGGAAGUUAGUCUUGCCUUUACUUAUCUUUGCUUGAAGAAGAAUCUUGACAACUUGGGAGGCCUAGAUCGACAACUACAACAAAAAAACAAAGGAGAACCAAGAGAAUUGAACGGAAUAAGUAAAAAAAAAAAUUCUUUUUGACAAUUAUUUUUUCAAUUAUUUUUUUAAAACUAAAUUGAAACUGAUCAAUAAAAUGAUGACAAAUAUUCUGUAUCAAAAUGUUGUAAAAAAAUAUUAUUAAAAUAUCAACAUCCAUAAGUAAAGCAUGAGAGUAACUACAUUAGGUUUAACCUAUGUAACUGUGAUGGGAAAUGUUCAUCUUCAUAUCUUCAUCUUCGCAUAAUGUGUGUUUGACUUUCUACAUCAUUAGCAUCAAUAUUUAAGUUUUAACUGAUGUUAUGAUGUCUACAUAAUAAAAUUUAUUUGUUUUAGCAGAGAAUGUCUUAAUUAUUGAAGGGUGAAUAUUGUAUGCUUAUUUAUAUAUCUUUGCUGACAAAAAUAAAGAGGGGCUAUUGAAGGAGUAUUAAUAUAAUUUGUUUAUUUAUUUAACCAAGCUUAGAGAGAGAGAGAAAAAGAAUAGUUAUUCAAGUUUAAUAGGUUCUUUUAAAUUUAAAUUCUGAAUGCUAAAUUGUGUUGCAUAUUUAGGAAGAGAGUUUAUCAUUCAUAAUGGAUGAUUUUAUUCAAUUCAAUCACAAUUGCCUUUCAUUCUUUGAAAAAUUUAUUUGCUCCUCGAAAAACUAGUUUAUUUAUUUUACCCUUUAGAUAUCAAAAGAUAAUGCAGUUAUAAAAUAAAAUUAUGGAGACUUUCCUCUUGUAGCAAAGAUUAGAGUCAACUUUACCAAAAAUUAAUUUUUUGAUAAGAAUUAUCCAUAAAGUUAUAAAAAUUAUCUUUAUGGAUUAAAUUGAAUCUAUAAUAAUCAUUGUAUACACCAAAUCAAACCAGCCACUUUUAUUUAUUAUUAAGUGCACAAAUUACACGGUGUUACAGGAAACAGGCAUCCAAUCCCAAUGUUAGAUUAAAGAGAAAGAUACAAACUUUGGCAAUAAAAUGUUAUUUAGUUGACUAAAGAAAAACUGUUAUUUAAAUAUCAAAAAAUAUGAAUUUAUUUUUUAUUUUUUAAUAAAAAAAUAUUUUUAUUCGUGUCGAAAUGGAGUCCGUUUAAUAUUGGACCUUAUAUAGAAUCAGCUCUAACACAAUGCAAAAUGCUACAAAUUUCAGUAUUUAUAUUUAUUAAAGUUAAUAAGAGUUUAACAACUAUUUUAUAUAUUAUGAAUUCGUGUUCAUUGUUGCUGAAAAUUGUCACAACUAAUAGGAACUAUAGAUUUUUUUUUUAUCAACAAAGAAUUAAUUAAUUAAUAUAGUAGAACAUUGGGGUGUUAUAACCCUUUUACAAAAAAUAUGAUAGUCGUAUACAUUAGGGAUGCAAGAAAGCUAACAUCAUGAGUCUCAACAAAAAAUUGAACACAAUAACUAAACCAUUGCUCAUCCUGGAUACGGAAUAAAAAGUGCAGAGAGAUUAACAUCAUAAGCUUAAAAAACAAUCCAAACCAUUGCACAUCAUCAUCAAUACAAUACAAAAGAAUUGUAAAUUAUUAAUCUAGAGUUUCUUUUUCUACUUUCUAUAUAAAUCUCUCCCAUUCAUGUUUUUUAUUAUUCAUAAAUUUCAUCACAUUCACGUUAAAAUAAUGUACGUAAUUUAUUUCUUUAUGUAAAUUAGCUUAGAAAAAAGAAUAGGUAUUCAAACUUAAUAAGUUAUUUUAAGUUGAAAUUUCAUGCAAAUUAUUGAGAGAAAGAGUUUAUCUUUCAUAAUGGAUGAUUUUAUCAUAAAUACCUUUUUCAUAAAUUGUAGUCCUUGAAAUAUGAUCGCUUGUUGCUCCUCCAAAACCUAGUUUAUUUAUUCUGCUAUAUAGAAUAUGAUUACAGAGUUUCCUUUUCUAGCUAAGAUUAGAGGCAUCUUUACGUUUUGAUAAGAAUUAUUCAUAAAGUCAUGAAGAAUAAUUUUACGGAUUAAACAAAAUCUAUAACAAUAAUUCUCUUAAACUAAACCACCCAGUUUUAUUAAGUGCACAACAUGAUGAUAGGAAAGAAACAUGCAGGUACAAGAAACGAAAGACAAACAUUCAGACUUGUUACAUUAGGAAAGGAAACAUGCUUCCAAUCCUAAUGUUACAUUAAAGAGAAAGAAAACAAACGUUAGAAAUGAAACCCUUAUUGAUUGUGAGGAGGCUAAGGUGGUUGAUGCAUGAGAGUGAAGGCUUGUUUAGCUGACAGGCAAAAUGCCUCUAAGAACGGGCCAACCAUCAAGGAUAGGCCUAACAUCACCGAUAAGAGUGUCAUCAGUUUUACCUGGAGUGAAAUGGAUACGCACAUACUUGUCUCCUUUGAAAAGGUAAGCUUCAGAGUCCACAUGAGAAGCAAAACACGCAUCGAUUCCAUUUUCAAAGAUGGUACCAUUCAGAACAGGAAACCCAUCAGUGAUGUUGCUAAUGUUGCCCACCUGCUUCGAAUCAUAGUCUAAGCGAACAUACUUAUUUCCCUUGAAUAAGUAAACUUCUUUUCCUCUGGUUGAUCUAAAUGCAGAGUCUAUGCCCUCCGCAAACACCGUGUUUCUGAGGGCAGGAAACAUUUCAGCAAUUGUGGUAGGACCUACGAGUAUCUUGUCAUUUGUUGUAGCUGGAGCAUAGUCAAUGUAGGCACAGAGGUUGCCGGAGAACACAUAUGCUUCACUCGCUUCAGUGUCAAAGGAACAGUCUACUCCAGGUUCUGCAAAUGGCGUUCCUGCGAGUGAUGGAAAACCACUACUAAUCAAACGCAGAUUAGUUAAAAUCUUGUCAUCAGUUCCUCCAGGGGUGUAAUACAACCUCACAUACUUGUUCUUGGCGAAGAAAUACACUUCAUAAUCUCUUGAUGAACGAAAUGCAGCAUUGAUGUAAGGAGGGUUUGACAUUUUUCUUAACAGAAGAAGAGGGGCUAAGGUAGAUAUAAAGAGUGCAAGAGAGAUAUAUGAUUUGAUUAAGAGAUGCUUACAUUCCUCUACAUGGCCCCUAUUUAUACUGUUGGAUUGAGAAUCUUUACUUAGUAUUGGAAACUGCCACGAAUACACACGCAAAGCAAAUGACAAAUAUCAUCUAUAUAUGAUGUCAAAACAAACCAGCCUUGUAAAUGUUAUCGGUGGUGCAUGUCCUUUCUGUUGGCUUCAUCUAACUUUAUUAUUGUAAUAUUAAAUGGAAAACGUGUUGAGAUUUUUUUUAUGCUUUUAGUGGCACUUGGGGAUAAUUAACGUUAAAGCGAGGGGUAACACAACCUUAAAGUUGUCAUGACAUAGUUGUUAAAGAACAGUUUUUCAACCUUAAAAGCCACUAAAUUGAAUUGAAAGACGUAAGAAGAUGUUAUCUAACUUUUGCACGUGCUUUUGUCACUGCAUAAACAAAUGUUAUGAGCUUGUUGGUUUCUGCACUGUUAUCUCAGCUUCACUUAGACACAAACUUUCUCAAUCACAAAUUCACGUAAAUUACUCUAAACAGAAUUUUGAAAUGCUAAAACUAAAAUUAAAACAACAUUAAUAUGAAUAUAAGAAUACAGAUAAUUAUCAGUCGAAAUAUGAAGCCGCUCAAAAUUCACACUAUUUAAAGUUAGGUAGAUGAACUCCAACAUAAAUCCUAAAACAAUUAUUAAAUUUAGAGUGAGGUAAACUGAUUAUAGUUGAACGUUAACAUUUAUUAAAAUAAGGUUUAAUUAUAUUUCUUUUAACAAAAAAAUUUAUUAUUAUUUUUAUUUGUUUUAAUUUGAUUUUUACUUUUAAAAAGUUGUACAAUUAUGUUUUUUUUUUUUGUUAAAUUUGAUAAAACGACAUGUAAACAUGAUAAGAUGAUAAAUAAUUCUAAAUUCUUAUUGAUGUAUAUUAAGUCUAAUGCUCAAUAGAGUGUAUCAAUUCCAUUUUAACAUUUAUUGUUAUAGCAGAAGGUUAUGUGAAAACUUGAGUAUGAAAUUUUAAGUAAGAAAAAUCUUCACCGCAAUGCAUUUCAUAAGUUAUAUGAGAUGUUUAGAGAUGUAAGAAAUACAGAAGAAUGUCGUCAUUGGAUAAAAGAGCAUCUCUGGAACUCAUUGUUAGCACAUUGAAAUUCUUUAGACUAUCGUAAUAAAUUGUGUUAUCGUCCAAAGAAAUCAAACUUCAAAAAAGGAUGGUGUUUUAUAUAUAUAUAUAUAUAUAUAUAUAUAUAUAUAUGGUUCCAUAUUACUAUUUAUGACAUGUCAUUUAUAUGGUACAAACCUUCAUUCUUUUUCUAUCUAUUAUAUAACUUAUGCAUUUUAAAAUUGAUGUGUACAUAUAAGUUCAUAUUUUGUUAUAGGUACAAAUGAGGUAUUUUAGCAAAGUCAUUAAAAAAGGAUCUCGCCAGUUUAUUGAUGAGAAGUCUCAACGGACACAUGUAAUUCCUGAUGGAUAUUAAUUGUCGGUAAUUAGUGGAAGAUGUAUCUCUCAGUAGCUAUCAACAUAUGUAUCCCUCAAUAAUUAUCAACGAUCAAUAUCUAAUGAUAAAUGUUACUGACAAUGUUUUUACUAACAAACUUUUGCUCUUUGGUAAUCAGUAAAGAAAUAGCCAUUAUUGAUGAAAUUUUUCUGUUUUUAACAUAUACAAGUCGUCAAUAAAUCUAGCUUUUUUGUAGUAUUUUCCACUGGGAGCAUAACUAUUCAGAGAUAUAGGAAGUGUCUCCCAACUAUUUGGUGAUGAGCUAAGCAACAACAACAUCAAUAGCUCAUCUUUUAAUAUAAUAUUUAUGAUCAACUGAUUCAUGAGAUUUUGAAAACUACUGAAGUGUUUAGCUACUGAAAAAUCACCCCUGUAUUACAAGUUUCCUAGCUUCUGAAUAAGAAAUGUCUUAUUCAAGAGAUUUUUAAAUUCAAAAAACUCGUCUAAUCUCUUCCACAAGCUGUAAGUUAAAGUCUCACCUGAUACAUGAUAUAUUGAUCCAUCAAUUGUUGGAUCAGACUAAUAGUAUUUUGGAUUAUCUUCUUCUAGUCUCUAUCAGAUUUAUCUAUUAGUUUGAGACCCUGAUCCUCAAUACGAUCAUCCAAGUCUUGAUAAAAUAACAGAUCUUCCAUUUGAGAUUUUCAUAUUACAUUUGAAGAAUCCAACUUGAUAAUGAUUCGACACCAUCACUAUCUCCCAUUUGCAAAUCACGAACCAAAGCUCCUAAUCGGAGCUCAGAUACGAGUUGUUGAGAAAAUGAUAAAAAAUACUAAUAAUAAGUGGAAGCAAUAACCCUAGAUUAAAUCUUCGACCAAUAUAUAAUAUAUAAAGCACAAAAACAAAGAAGGGGAAAUUAGGAGAUACUGAUAAGUGUGAAAAAUAGUUAUUUUUACAUUUAUAAAUGAUAUUAAUCUUGUAGUUAUUUAUGUAAUUACUCAGUGAAAAGUUGUAAUAGGGAGUAGAUUGUUACGUAAAUUAUUGUUCAGGAAAAGAUGUAUAAAUUGAAUUGUUCAGGAAAAGAUGUAUAAAUUGGAAUCUGUCAGCCAAUUCUCAGAUAGCGCAAGGAAAAAUUAGCAGAGCCCACAAAAGAAAUUCGCACAUCACACAAGUACUUAUGCGUUGAAUGAAUCAGCCAAUUAAAAGAAGACAACAUUUUUAAGAUUCGCAUAGCGCACCAAAUACUAUGCACUUAGCGAAUUAAAGUAGUUUAGUGCAUGAAUUAAAAUUAAUUCGCACAACGAAUACACUCUUGUGCGUUGGGCGAAUUAAAAUAAUUAACUCCUCCCACUGUGUAUUCCAAGCUUAUUUUGUAAAACUCAAUGUGCAUAAAUACAACUGGGAGCAAAGGCCAAAUAAGUGGAGAGUUCAGGAAAAGUUUCUGCACACAAGGGUCAACUAUGAAAAUAGCAUUGAUUAUUAAGCGAACCAAUUUUUUUUAAGACUUAUUGGCCAUACAAGUGAUGUUCACCAAUUGAUUAUCACAUUUAUAUGGAACCCCAUGGCCAAGGAACAAUUAUUUUUAAAACUCAAUGUGCACAAACAGAACUGGAAGCAAAGGCCAAAUAAGUGGGGAGUUUAGGCAAGUUUCUGUACACAAGGGUCAAUUGAAAAAAUGACAUUAAUUUUUAAGUGAACCAAAUUAUUUUUAAGACUUAUUGGCCAUAAAAGUGAUCUUUAGUCAAUGAUUAUCACAUGUAUAUGGAUCUUCAUGGCCAAGGAACAAUUCUUUUUAAAACUCAAUGUGCACAAACACAGCUGGGAGCAAAGGCCAAAUAAGUGAGGAGUUCAUGCAAAGUUUCUGCACACAGUAGUCAACUGUGAAAAUGGCAUUGAUUUUUAAGUGAACCAAAUUUUUUUAAGACUUAUUAGUCAUAAAAGUGUUGUUCUGCCAUUGAUUAUCACACGUAUAUGAAUCUCCAUGGCCAAGGAACAAUUCUUUUUCAAACUCAAUAUGCAGAAACAGGAUUGAGAGCAAGGGCCAAAUAAGUGGAUAGUUCAGGCAAAAUUUCUGCACACAGGGGUGAACUGUGAAAAUGACAUUGAUUUUUAAGUGAACCAAAUUUUUGUUAAGACUUAUUGGCCAUAGAAGUGAUGUUCAGUCAUGGAUUAUCACAUGUAUAUGGAUCUCCAUGGCCAAGGAACAAUUCUUUUUCAAACUCAAUGUGCAGAAACAGAACUGGGAGCAAAGGCCAAAUAAGUGGAGAGUUCAGGCAAAGUUUCUGCACACAAGGAUGAACUGUGAAAAUAACAUUGAUUUUUAAGUGAACCAAUUUUUUUUAAGACUUAUUGGAAAUAAAAAUGAUGUUCAGCCAUUGAUUAUCAUACUUAAGGCACGUAUUUUUCACAUGUUAGUCAACAUAGUCCAUGCCAUUAAUGCUUUAGUGAAAAAUGUUUAAUUUGAAUUUAUAUGAAUGAUUAUUAUACAAAUGUUAUAUUGUAUAAAAAUGGUUAUUAAAUUCCAAAAUUAACAAUUGAACUUAAUAUAUAAAUAUUAACAUAUAAAACACAUUUAUAUAAAAACGUACUAAUUGAGAUCAAGAAGUCAUAAAUAAACAUUUAUAUAAAUAUAAGUAUUUAAGGAUAUGAACAUAAAUUGGUGAUAUAUUUUGUGGUUCACACGUAUAACAUUAUAAUGACAUCCAUUAAUGUGAACUUCAACUAUAAUAUCCUUUCAAUGAUUCUUAACCUUGCAGACCAUAACGUCUCCUUCCUUCGAGCCAUAUUGUGUGCAAAAUUUCUUCCAUCCUUUUAUGAACUUGUCACCAAUGUUGAUAUCAAUGUAGUUCAACAACCUUGGAAACUUUGUUAUCCGUGUACUGUACAUUGAGUUGGAUGUCACAAAAUGAUGACAAAACCAAACCUUCAAAAGUAAAUAAAACAACAUUCACAUAAAAAGUGAUAAAAAACCUUAACAAAGUACUCAAAAACUAUAAUGCCCCACUUGUAGUUACCCACACACCCCAACUCAGAAACAAGGUCAAAAGGAAUUGAAAACACUAAUCCACUACGAUUGGGAAACAAGAACUCACUUAUCCCAACCAAUAUAUACAAACUACAAAAAUGUUCUAAUGAAAAAUUCUCAUAUUUCUUUAUCAAAAUUUGAUAACCAUGUUAACAUCUACUUUCCCAUAAGGAAAGUAGUCCCUAAACACACUUUGAUGACCAACUUUAUUUAAAUAUAUUGGUUCACCAACAACAUGCAACUCUAAAGACAAACAUACAUUACAUUCAUUAAAUUCAAUAAUUUUGUGUCCAAAAUAAAAUGAUUAUGGCUAAUUAUGCUUACCUUCCCUAAAGGAUAAGAAUUAACACUUUGCACCCUCCUUGUUAGGGAAAGUUCAACCAUACUACUUACAUUAUGCCCUUAAAAAUAAUAAGCUAAAGGAAAUUGGUGUAAUAUCCUAAAAAGGAUUGUGUCAAUAUUCAAGUACCAACCUCAUGGAAGGUACUUAUAGUUACCCCAAAUGAUUUUAAGCUCGUCAAAGUGAUCAAAACUAAAGCUAAAUGACCUAAUUAUUUUAGGAUUAGAUAUUGACUACAAAAUUACAAAUAACAUACUGUUAUUUUCUAUUUAAAAUUUGAAACAAAAAUGUUUACGCAAAAUAAUUUAAUAUCAUCUUGAUGAUAUCAUGCAUGAUUUUAGAAAGUAGAAAGCAUCCAUAUUUCAUAGUUUGAUGUUGAAGUUAACCAUACAUAUAGCAUAAAUUAGCCAGCACAAAAUGGAACUUAGUCAGAAUUCUAUGUUACAAUUAUGACAACUUAGCAAAAGUGUAGUAGUAAACAUUAUAGGUGGUACUUACGUCAUCCCUCCGUUAAGGUUUAUAUAUCUGGAGUAAGAGUUCCAAUCACCUUGCCCGUCAUAACCUGUAGAGAAUCCUACAGUCACCAUCAAUUUUCUAGAAGGACAAGUUAUUCGAUCAACAAUUUCAACGUCAUUCUUUGAGGUUAUAACAACUUACCUUAAUUACCUCCAUAAUAGUAAGCAGUCGAUGGAUGGUCAUUUGGAGUGAAGCUUGCAUUCAGGUUAAAUGGCUUGAACCCCUUAGCUAAGGCGUGCCCACUCUGUAUAGAAGCAGACUAUAAGAAUAUGUUAUCACACACAAAUCCAAAGUUUCUAAUGUAUCAAUUCUAUAGUAAAAAUACAUACCUUUGCAGGCUCCGGAACUACAGUGGUCUUGGGUUCAAAGUCCAAGGAUAAAUUCUACAAUAAAUCUGCAGCUUCUACAUUAAAAUGGUAAGAAAACUCAUGAUUAAAGAGAAAAGUUUCUCCAACAAACAAAAAUAAACUUACAUUAAAAAACAAAAAGGGAUAAAUUUUAUCGACUCAGCACCAGUAUUUAUAAAUUGUUUAUGGAAAAAUUAUCUAGAUGUCAAAUGAACCUAUUUAUUUAUUUGUUUAAAUUACAACAAUGUAUACAUGUUUUCAUAAAAUGAAAAAUGAAAAAAACUUCAAAAAACAUUUAACUUUAUUAAGGAAAAACCUAAAUGUCCAAAAAAUUAAAAAAAAAAACUCAUGAAACAAAAAUUAAUCAUUAGCGAAAUAAAUUUAAAACCUUCAAAAAUCGACUUCUAAUAACGUUUUCUGGCUUUGUAAGCACUUAACGGUGGAAUGAUUGCAGUGAAUAACGUGUCUCCCUACCAACUCCGAAUCCUUUAACGGCAAUGACAGUGACUGAUGGGUGAGUGCGACGGAAGAAAAAAACGAAAAUGCUUGUAGGAAAGAGCGAAAAGGAGUCUAGGUGCAAAGGUUGCCUUUCUCUUUUUCUUUUGAAAACCACCAAAUGAGACCCAAAACCAAAACCAUUCACUGUCUUCUAUUUCUACCACAUUUUCUCUUUUUUAAAAAAAAAAUUCCACUUACUCCAAUAACAGCGUGACACAUGUAUGUUGUAAAAAAUUUGUCAUUUUAAGGUGUCAAAGUAUCAUUACGUAAUCUGAAAAAAAAUUUCACUGAUAAUAAUUAAUAGGUACAACAAAACUCCUUGAAACAUUUAUAGAAAAUAUUCUAUUAGUGAAUAAACAAUACAAGAAAAUAUUCACUCAGAUUUAACUAAACAAAAAGGUGAUUACUUCACUUUCGAAUCUCACCAUAAACACUAUAGUGGCUUCUUUGGUUUUUCUCUCCAGAUAUACUAUUUGUGAGAAGUGCACACACAGAAAACCCACACAGCUUUCGCUGCACUCCUAAUUUUAUGGUGACCUACGUGUCAAUGAUCAAUAUUUUUCUUAAUAAGUCCUUGUUAAAUCCUAACUUUUUUAUACUUUUUAAUAAUAGAAGACGCUUAAAUGAAAAAGUGUUUAUCAUUUAUUCACUUUAAAGAAGUUACCUUCAUUUCACCGUUCCUAUUUACCUUUACCUUUUGUUUUAUGAGCGAAAAACAUUAUAAAUUAAAAUUGAAGCACCAAUGAUGUCGGCAGGAAGAGAAGAGAUUUUCAAUUUUUUUGUUUAAUAAUAUAUGUGAUGGAAAUUUAAUAUAAAUAUUUAAGUUCAUAUUUUCUCUUUGAAUCACCUAGGAAAAUAUGAGUAGACGCAUUUGAUUUUCUUAUUUGUUGGAAUUUAAAAAAUAACUCCGAAAAUAUAUAAAUUUUUCAAAGGAAAAAAGUUUGAAAUCCUUUGUUACACCAAACAACACACGUAUUAAUUAUUAAACCAUUAUACACAUACAAAAACGGAAAACAAAUUCUCAAACAAAUUUCGAGCUUCAGCAAAAUCUUGUUGGCCUAGAGGCUGUGAGAAUUCCGAGGAACAUCCUCUGGAUGGAUUGGCAUUUUUCUUCAGAAACUUAACAAAAGGAUGAAUUGUUGUAAUAAUAUCAUAUUAUUGCAAAAGACAUCUUUCUCCAAUGGUAAUAUUCCAACCGCCAAAUUCUUAAGUGCUGCAAUGGCCAAAUUAUUUAUUGUUUUUUAUUGUUUUUUAUUGAUUUUAUUCUUCCCUAUCUCUAUAAAUAGAGAACUCUGUCCCCAUUCCUAAACACACCAAAGUUCAUUCUUUGUCUUCUUCUCCUAAAAUUAUCCUAGGUAUAAACUCUUUACAGAGUUUCUUGCUAGUUCUGUGAUCCUCGAAUACAUUUCGAGAAGUUCCUAUUGUGUCCUGGGGGACUUGCGCAACAUACCGCGAAUAAGUCCUUAAGAACAGUGGUCUACACACCUCAGGAAAUGCGGUUCGAGAUUUUGGUCAGUAUUUUUUACUACAAUCUUAAGGACUUAUAUUUUAGUCUCAUUCAAAAAGCCAAAAAGGUACGAAAAUCUAACAUUUUUUUUAAUUACUUCGUAAUUGUUAUUUUUAGUUUUGAAUGCUUUGAAAGAUGAUUUCAUGUUUCUGUUUUAAUUGAGUGAUCCAGGAAUUUUAGAAAUAUAUGUUCGAUAAAAUAUUGUUCUAAGACCAUAAUUUUUGUUCCGUACUCAUGAAAUAAAUUUUCGUAACCAAGGUAUAAAUGUUGACUAGUGAUAUGAAUAAAGGUGUUUUUUUUUUUGGAUAGUUUCAACGUAAAACUGUAGUCCCUAUAUUAUCUUUGAUUAGAUCUUAAUUAAUUUUUUAAAUAAGUUUUAUAUUUCUUCCUUUUUCAAACUCAUACCUACCUAUAAUUAAGAGGGGAACAUUCAUAACAAGUAUUAUAUUUCUUCCUUUUUCACUAAUAAUAUAUAUAAAGGAGGGAUUGUGAUUAUGACUUUCUUUGAAAGCUAGCUAGUGAAAGUGAUUAUGACUUUUGGAGUGAUUGCAAAAGGAGACCCGGACUAUCUUACCAAGAGAUCUACCGUGUGUGUGUGGAAGCUUCCAAAGUUCCAAAAAGGAAUGAGUUUAUAAAAAAGUAAUAAUACCAUAAAACGUUUUUACAUUCAUUUGACAUAGAAUACAAAAAUAAAAUAGUCUAAAAAGUAUAAAAUUUUAUAAUUUUUCAAGAAAGAAAAGAAUAAAAAAUAAAUAAGGAUAAUAUCAAAUAAAAAAUUUAGGUUACUUAAAUAAUCAUUUCUCUUUAUAAAAGACACUUAUAUAAGUAGUCAAAACUCUUUCUUUAAAAGUUGCAAAUAAAAUUACAUCAAAAUCAUACAAGUUAAAUAUGUUUUUAUUACAUAUAUUUACCGUUCUGGAUAUAUAAGUUUAGGGGUUAAACUAGGCGUAACCUAAAAAGCUACUUUAUUAUUGAGUAAGAAACAAUUUAUAUACACGGACAAAAAGAUAAAUAUUCUCAUCUUUUACUUCUAACAAAAUUUUAAUGAUGCGGUUAAAUAUGUUUUUAUUACAUAUAUUUAUAUUAUUCUUGAUAAUUUAUUGUAUUGAAAUUUAAAUAAAAGUUGUUUAUUUAUUAUCAUAAUUAUUUUUAUUAAAUAAAAAAGAUAGUAUUGCAAAAUAAAACGAAUACAAGAAAAAUGAUUUAUUUUUACUCGGCGACAUAAUAGAAAUGGAUAAAAUUAAUAUUAUUACGUUUGUUUCACUUACUCAACCAUGCACAAUACAAACUUCUGCAUCUUACCAAGUUUCUGACAUUAAAAUCUAUGAUCCAAGUGCCAUGAAAUCUCCAACCACAAACCAUACCAUAAACAAAACCACCUUCAGAAUUUGGGAGAAAUUUAUCAUUGUGUAAUUGAAACUUACAUCCCAUCACCAAACUCCUCAUUGAUUAUCUCUUUGAUGCUCUCCCCAAAAUGCAUUACAGCUUCAUUCAACCUGUGAAAUAGAACAUCAACAUAACAGUUGGGCACCUUGAAACAAAGACCAGAAAAACGAGACAGAGAAGAACCAGAGAUAAACUCCCAAACUGAAUUAUUCACUAUUGGCUAUAGAAGACAAUGUUUACAAAGGAAAAAACUUCCUUUCACACAGAGUAUUAUUCCCUGUCACCAAAGUCAAAGAUUUCAAUACCAAAAAGAAGACCCCUAACACCUCACAAAGGUAAACUAUUUAUAGACUUUCUGAGAAAGUUUCUCCCCAAAACAACUAACUACAUAACCCCUUUUAUUUCUAAAUUCCCUUCUAUAAUACACAUUUCUCCCUCUCUCAAUAAUUCCCUUCCUAACAAUAACCCAACAAAUUAAGUAUAUAAAGAAGGCUGUUGAUAUAAUACACCAUACAUGUUCCCAGCAUUAGAAUAAACACAUUACAAAAGAACUACUAUGUACAUUCAUGUCAAUCACAAGACAUCCAUGACACACUAUUAACAACUAACAACUUGACAUGAUUGAGUGAAUAUUAAAACAACUUGACAUGAUUGACAUGCCAUGCUGAUCCACAAGUUCUAAUUGCACUACUUGGGUGUCCUUCAAGUCUUACCCAAUCAAUGUCCACCAUCCUAAUUCCAUCCAACAUUUAAAUAUUUGGUAGAACCCAAUUGAUGCAAUUUGAAUAUGAAGAACCAAAAUUGCAUAAUGGUGAUAACCUCCCACUUAACAUGCAAUUAAGCCUAAAGAUUAUACUCCCAACAACUCAUUUCACCAUACAUAACAGAUACUCCCAACUCCAAUUUCGAAUCCCUAAAUCCCAAUUUUCAGAGGUCUGAUCUCAUUUAUCUCUAAAUCCCAAUUUCUUAAGCCACAUCACCACUCCUUCUGUUAUGGAAUCAGUCCACGUAAAAAAAAAUAACACAUCACCACUCCUUCUGUUAUGGAAUUAGUCCACGUAAAAAAAAUAACACCUCACCACAUUCUCACUCCAACACGUGAACAAUACUUAAUGUCGUCUGCUAGCCCUUAACGAAUGGGGUACAAUGUGUGCAUUUUUACAAAAAUUGUGACUAAAUUGAGAUUGUUGAAAGCUUCAGGACUAAAAUGAAAUUCCUUAACAAAACAGAGGACCAAUUGAAGUAUUAAGCCAUUUUUAUGCUUCAUUGUAUAAUGUAAAACUAAGAAAAAACUAACCAUCAAAAUAAUAAUAUUUUGUAUAUUUUCCAAGAAAUUAAAUAAAUAAUUUUGUUAAUCUUCUCAUCGAAAUGAUAUAUAUAUAUAUAUAUAUAUAUAUAUAUAUAUAUAUAUAUAUAUAUAUAUAUAUAUAUAUAUAUAUAUAUAUAUAUAUAUAUAUAUNNNNNNNNNNNNNNNNNNNNNNNNNNNNNNNNNNNNNNNNNNNNNNNNNNNNNNNNNNNNNNNNNNNNNNNNNNNNNNNNNNNNNNNNNNNNNNNNNNNNNNNNNNNNNNNNNNNNNNNNNNNNNNNNNNNNNNNNNNNNNNNNNNNNNNNNNNNNNNNNNNNNNNNNNNNNNNNNNNNNNNNNNNNNNNNNNNNNNNNNNNNNNNNNNNNNNNNNNNNNNNNNNNNNNNNNNNNNNNNNNNNNNNNNNNNNNNNNNNNNNNNNNNNNNNNNNNNNNNNNNNNNNNNNNNNNNNNNNNNNNNNNNNNNNNNNNNNNNNNNNNNNNNNNNNNNNNNNNNNNNNNNNNNNNNNNNNNNNNNNNNNNNNNNNNNNNNNNNNNNNNNNNNNNNNNNNNNNNNNNNNNNNNNNNNNNNNNNNNNNNNNNNNNNNNNNNNNNNNNNNNNNNNNNNNNNNNNNNNNNNNNNNNNNNNNNNNNNNNNNNNNNNNNNNNNNNNNNNNNNCGAACAGACUAAACGUCUGAAUUAUUCAAGGCAGCACUUGCCUUCCGGACUAAACGUCCGAACAGACUACACGUCUGAACUAUUCAAGGCAGCACUUGCCUUCCGGACUAAACGUCCGAACGGACUAAANGUCUGAAUUANUCAAGGCAGCACUUGCCUUCCGGACUAAACGUCCGAACGGACUAAACGUCUGAAUUAUUCAAGGCAGCACUUGCCCUUCGGACUAAACGUCCGAACAGACUAAACAUCUGAAUUAUUCAAGGCAGCACUUGCCUUCCGGACUAAAUGUCCGAACGGACUAAAAGUCUAAAUUGUUUAAGGCAGCACUUGUCUCUUUCAUUAAAAACAACGUUUGCAAGGCGACGUGACUAGCAAUUUCGGAGCUUCUUUCAAUACAUCGUCAUUCAGACAUGAAGAAGUCAACAAUCCCCUACAGCCGAUACGUUCAAAACUAUUCAGAUCACCGAAUUCGGGCAUUUCUGCAUAAGCAAGUAAGUUCACUUGAAAUUAUACUAGUUAAGAUAAUUUAUCUAGAAAAAAUUGUUGUUGAUUUGUCAAGCAAAGUGAAAGCCCCUUGUUACGCCAAAACGGCGAAGGGUAACACAUUUAUUAGAUAAGGGUAAACCAAAACUUUAGUCAAAGGCCGAAAGCCUUCAAAGUACACAUGCAAUAUCACGCUGCGGGCCGACAGCCUUAUACCUAUACUAAUUCCCAAACAAUUGCAUAAUGAAGUCAUUAGAGGAAAUACAUAAACAUUCGCAAUUAUAACAGAGUUAAAACAGAAACAAGUUUUGAGAUCAUCCACAGAGUAUUGAAUAUUUAACAAGAAAUUUAAAUUUUUGGUGUAUCCACUUCCUCGAUGAUGGUUCUCCCAGGGAUCGGCACUUCACUAACAUCAAACGUCACGUUGCUGAUCUCUCCCGUUGGGGCAACAGUCUGAACAUCAGUCUGAGCUUUAACAGCGACUUCCUCUUCCUCUUCUUCUUCACCAUCCGAAUACGUUCUAGCAGGAACCUCUUUGGAUGGGACUAUCUUUCCAUCGAGAAUAUCCUUCUCCACGUCUAAAGGAAGAUCUUGUAGAGGUCGGUCAAGCUGAAAGGUGACCUGCCGGAUUGCCUUCUUAAAUCCGCGAGUGUGCUCCAGAACAAUAGCUUCUGCCAUUUCCCUUUCUCGAGCCUUUGCCGCUAUUAACGAAUUCUUCAAAAUGUUCCUUUCAAUGGUAACUUCAUUCAAGGCCUUUCAAGUAGCGGCAAGAUCAGCAGUUUGACGAUCCAGGUCCUUCUUCGUUGCCUGAAAGGACUGUUUUAUGUUCUCGAGUAUGACACGGCCUUCGUUGAUCGUUUUCUCGGUCGCCUCAUACUUGGGUCCGCAUUCGGAAUGAAGAAGGGUGAGAUCCAUCAAUUGUUUCUAUAGGCCUUCAACUUCAGCCUUGUCCUGAUCAUCCAUAUGGAUCAGCUCUAAAGUAGAGGCAGUAGCACGAACACAAAACUCCAAAAUGUGCUGGCGGAGUUGCUGGCGAGGAGUGUUUUUUAGCACUUUCAUCUCGGCCGAAUCCAGCUUGGGAUCUAUCUUAUACCCAGGUCAAAACCGGCAUCCCAUACGCCGUUCUGAAGGUCGCGGUCGGCAUCAGCGUGUCCGGUUUCAUCCACUGCAGUCCCCUUUGAGGGGUUCCUCGUUCUUUUCCCGGACGGCAACUCUCUAAGAGGGAUCACCCUCCUUUUUCUCUUCAAAGGAAUUUCUUCUUCGCCCUCCAGAUUAACGACCGGCGCGGUUUGUGGAGGGGGAGUAGGAGUCAGAACACUGGAGCCUUGACCCUGGAUCAGGUCCUUCGUGCAGUUGAACCAAUCAAUAGUGGUCUUCUUCUUGCCCAUGAUAGCUGAUACAGAAGAAACUUCAGUAAGCAAAAAUCAUUAAGUAAUUAAUAAUGGUUAAUACGGAAACAUACCAGAGACCCUUGAAUCUAGGUCGUCGUGCGCCAGGCAAUUCACUAGCUGUUUCGAAGAGAAAGGGUGAAGAGAUAGUUCUUCCAGCGCACUGAUAGCCUUUAAUUCAUAGGUUGACAAUGAAUCCUUAUCCCAAGAAGUUAUUGAGUAAGGGUUUUGAGUCCAAUAUAAGGGAAAUCUCUCGUUAUCGUCCUCAUUAAGGAAGAACGGGCGGCCUAGGUCGGUGAUAACUACUCUGAAAAAGUGUUUUUUAAAGUCUUUAUACGAGUCCGCAUACAAUUUGAACAGGGUAUUUUUGGGAUCAGAAACAAGUGAAACCCAACCCCUUUUUGGAACUGGGCGGGUUCUAAAGAAGUAUAAAAACAUGGGGGCGGUCGGUUUUAUAUCUAAGAAUUUACAAACUACGCAAAACGACUGAAUGUAACCCUAACUAUUGGGAUGAAGUUGCGUGGGGGCAACGUUUAGGUGUCUUAACACAUUCAUAUGGAAAUCAGAGAAUGGAAGUCUAACAUACAUAUCAACAAACAAACAAGUAUACAUGUAGAAGAAAUGCUUUUCAGAACCAUGUCUAUGGGUGCUACCUUUUGCCCCUUUUCUUCCACCACUGACGACGGCGAACCAAGAUUAAAGGAAGAACUCAUAAUUACCUGAAAAGAUUGACGCUACUAGGAGGAAGGGAAAUCGAUAUUCUGGUGGGAACGAGAGUGUUCUAAGAUUUGGAAGACAGAGGAAAUGAAAGUGGCGGUUACAAAAACCCUACAUUAAUUACCCUAUAACUGGCCGCAACUGUCAGAAAAACCCUUGACCAUUGGAUCAAAAUGAUCUGACAGCCAAGCGAACAAAACGCUCCAACUGCUUUCAAGGCGGGAAAAAAGUUAAUGAUGGUUUGGAACUCAAUCGACGAGUCUCCAAAACGCUGCGUUACGGUGAAAAUUUAAAAUGCUUCUGUGAAGAUUGAGUUACUGGCUAUUUAGGGUCCCUUAUAAUCGCCCGGGAUGUCAGGUUUACAAAGCAGUCGGUCAGUUGAGAUUACUCGUUGAGAGAACCCGGUCGGCUAAGAUUCCCUCACACAAUCAAAAGUCCUACAUUCAUUCGUUGGUCACAAUUCAACGCUUCAUUUGGACUUGGGGGGGAUGAUGUACGAUAUGCUAUUUGGGCCGAACGGUUGCAAUUAGUAACCGCACGGUCCAGCAUGCUUAUUGGGCCACAAUCAUAUUAAUGAUAGGCCAUUGUCGGUUCAGUCAUUGGGCUAAUAGUCCAUCACAACGAUAUAAUCCGUUGAGAAUAAUAUCUUAACAAACUAUAUCAGAAAAGAUUAAAUAAGAUAUGAACAGCCAGGUAUUCAGGUAUGACCGUUUAUAUUAUAUUCUGUUUAUAUUUGAUAAUGAUCUAUAUAUACAGGGCUGGAAUCGUGUACCAGGUACGCUCUCUCAUACACUAUUUGCCUUACAAUAUUAUUCAGUGAUUUCACUCUGCAUUCUCAUAUUGAGAGCCUUCAGCCUUGCCAUUCAAGGCUCAUCACCACUCACCCUGACUUGGGCGUCGGAGUGCCAUUGUAGGUACCUCCCCCCAGUCAUAGCUUGGAGCUUCCGGACGGUUGAAGAUCAGAAGACAGCAGAAGCGUCACAUCAUCCAGGUUAGUCCCUUCGAUCCCAAAAUAUUCAUACCGAAACACAUAAUAUUAUAUAUCAAACUAUUGAAAGAAAUAAUCAAUGUGCAUCUGCAAUACAGCAGUAUAUUUUCAAGUGGUUACAUGAGGAAUUAUUUUAUAAUUAAUCGUCGAUCAAAACGCUUACGUUUGUGUGUCCUCCAUCUGAACAUUUACUUGGAAUAUAUAUAUACAUCUACAUGUAUAUAUAAUAGGCAGAAACUUCGCUCACGCACUAAAACUUUCUCAAUCACAAAUUCACGUAUAUGCAUUAAUUCUCUUGGUAGAUUAGUGUAAACAGAAUUUUGAAAUGCUUAAACUAAAAUUAGAACAACAUUGAUAUAAGUAUAAGAAUACACAUAAUUAUCAGUCAAAAUAUAAAGUCGGUCAAAAUUGGCACUAUUAAAGUUAGGUAAAUCAACUGUAGCAUAGAUCCUAAAACAAUUAUUAAAUUUAGAGUGAGGUCUUCCGAUUAUAGUUGAACGUUAACAUUUAUUACAAUAAGGUUUAAUUAUGUUCUAACAAAAUAAAUUUAUUAUUAUUUUUAUUUGUUUUAAUUUCAUUUUUACUUUUAAAAAGUUGUACAACUAUGUUUUUUUGGUUAAUUUGAUAAAGCGACAUGUAAACAUGAUAAGAUGAUGAAUAAUUCUAAAUUUGAUUAAGUCUAGUGCUAAAUAGACUGCAUCUAUUUCAUUAAUUCCAUUUUAACAUGAUUUAUUGUUACAGUGUGAAAAUCUGAACAUGAGGUUUUAAGUAAGAAAUUUUUUUACCACAAAACAUUUCAUAGAUUAUCUGAAAUGUUUGAGAUGUAAGAAAUACAGUUGGAUAAGAGAGCAUUUCUAGAACUUGGUGCUAGCAUCUUGAAAUUUUCUAGAUUAUCAUAAUAAACGUGCUACUGUCCAAAGGAAUCAAGCUUUAGAAAAUGAUGAUGUUUUACAUACAGGUGGUUUGAUAUUACUACUCAUGCGAUUUGUAUUGUACAAACUUUCAUUCCUUUUCUAUCCAUUGUGAUAUAACUUAUGUAAUUUAAAAUUGAUGUGUAUAUAUAAGUCCAUAUUAUGUCACAGGCACAAGAGCUGGGAAUGGUUAUGCACGUUGAUGAGGUAUUUUAGUAAAUUCAUAUUCGAAAGGGAUCUAACUAGUUUGUUGAUGAGAAAUCCCGACAAACACAUGUAAACAAACACUUUUACAAACUUUAAAAUUGUACUAUUAUGUUUCUUUUAAACUUAAUUCUUUACUGACACUUUACAAAAUAUUUAAAAGAAUUUUCAACUAGACUCUCAUAGGUCAAAUCGAAGCAAGGGUCAUGUCCUGAUGCAAUAAAAGACCAUAAUAAUGAUGAGGACAUUAUUAGGACACAGUGUUGAAUCGACGUUGUCUAUGAAAUAAAUAAAGAAAAACUAUAUGGGGCAGAAUAGGUUGUUGCCAAUUACACUAGUGGAAGAGGAACACUAAAACAACAACCAUUAACUUCCGACAGUGCAUAAGACGUUGUUGUCCACAUCACCUAGCAACUAGAGCAACGUGACCAGGCUUAUGAUGAGUUGAAACAAUAGUUUAUGGAUUUCCAAAAUUUGAUCAUGUGAUUCUUGUCUCUAGAAGCACAAACUUGUCUUUCACGACCUCAAUCCACACCAACAUUGUCUCAACAACAAUCCUUUCUAGUCGAGUCCACCCUAGUCUAGCCACCUCCAGAAUAGUAACAACAUGAAAAAGAAGAAGAAAUAGUUAGAUGAUUAUGUAGUAUUUUAAGAUUUUGUUAGUUUUAUAACCAUUUAGUAUACAAUCUUCUAUGUUUGUCUUAGUUACAUUAUAAACAUGUUUGUGUGCAUAUUAAUGUCAUGAAUUUGAUUGUCUAGCAAAUUUCUUGGUUGUUUUUAUGUGUAAGGUUCAAUGUAUGGUAAUAGUCCACUAUACUUGACCUAACGCACAAUUUAUCGAUAGAAAUUAUCGAAACAUAAAUCUGUCAAUAAUAUUCUUUAUUGAUUCACAUAAUUAUUGACAGAUAAUAAUCGUCAGUAAUUAUUGACAGAUGUAUCUUUAUUUAAUUAUCAACAAACAAUAUCUAUCGAUAAAUGUUUUCAACAACACUUUUACGGAUAGAAUUUUACUCGUUAGAAAUUUGUAAAAAAAUAGUCAUUAUUAAUGAUUUUUUGUUGUUUUUAAUAUAUAUAUAUAUAUAUAUAUAUAUAUAUAUAUAUAUAUAAAUCAUCAAUAAAUCCAGUUUUUUUGUAGUGUUUUUCAUUGGAAGCAUAAUUACUCAGAGAUACUGUUAGUUUCCCAACUGAUAGUAAUGAGCUAAGCAAUAACACCGUGAAUAAUUCAUCUUUUAAUACAAUCUUCAUAAUCAAUUGAUUCAUAACAUUCUGAAAAUUCAUCCUUGUAUUUCAAGUUUAUUGGUUUCUGAAUAAAGAAUAUCUUAUUCAAAAAAAUUUUAGAUUCAAACAACUCCCCUAAUCUCUUCCACAAGCUGUAAAGUAGAAUUUCUCCUGUUUCAUGAUGGUAAAUAUAUUGAUCCAUUUAUUGUUGGAUCAAACUAAUAGUAUUUCGGUUUAUCUUCUUCUAAUCUCUAUCCGAUUUAUUUAAUAGUAUGACACCUGAUUCUCAAUAGGAUCAUACAAGUCUUGACAAAAUAACAUAUUUUUCAUUCAAGAUUUUCAUAUUAAAUAAUUAGCAAAAUCUAAUUUUAUCAUGAUUCCACACCAUCACUGUCUCCCAUCUGCAAAUCACGAACUAAAGUUCCUAAUCGGAGCUCGGAUACGAGUUGUUGAAAAAAUGACAAAAAAUACAAAUAAUAAGCGGAAGUAAUAACCCCAUAUUAAAUCUUCACUGAAAAGAUAAUAGAUAAUAUAGAUCACAAAAACAAUGAAGGAGAAAUUAGGAGACACCAUAACAUGAAAAAACUAAAUAUCCUUAUAACCUAGUCUAGACAAAUCAUCCACUGAUAAUAAUAAUUAGGUACAACAAAACUCUUCUUAGAACUUCCAAAGAUUUAUAGAAAAUAUUCUAUCACUCUAAGUGAAUAAACAAUACAAGAAAAUAUUCACUCGAGAUUUAACUAAAAAAAAGUGAUUACUUCACUUUCGAAUCUCACCAUAAACAUUCUAGUGGCUUCAUUGGUUUUUCUCUUCAGAGAUACUAUGUGUGAGAAGUGCACACACAGAAAACCCACAUAGCUUUUGCUGCACUCACAUCUUGUUCUCUCUUAAUUUUUCUUUCUGUGUUAUUUUCUUGUGGUGCAUUGUAUUGUGGAUGCAGAAGCUCAUUCCUUUUUAUAAGGGUUUCAAACCGCCUUGCAUGAGUUGACAAUGGCUGUCAUGCAAAUGUUGCAAUUACAAAAUGAAACCAUGUAAAAAAUUACACGUUGUACUCCACUUUCCCUAUUGAAUCCAUGUCCGAAAGUUUUACUGCAUUUGCCACUCAUUUUGCUUCAGCAAAGUUGCCCUAGAGGCUGUGAGAUUUCCGAGGAACAUCCUCUGGAUGGAUCAUUUGGUGGAGGGAUUGACAUUUUUCUUCACAAACUUAACAAAAGGAUCAAUAAGGGUCCAGUAUGUAAUUUAGGUGGUUGUGAUGAUUAGGCCUCAAGAAAAUUGUAAUAAAAUACUCAGUAACGAACAGGAUUGGCAGGUAUAUUUUGAUAGGACAAUGAUAUUUUGACAACACUUUUUGACAACUUUUUUGACAACGGGACACGUGUUAUCAUUUUAUUGGUCUAUUUGAAUUUGUUUAAAAAAUAUUUAAAACGGAUCAAUCACAAGCUGCCACGUAUGCGUUGUAAAAAAAUUGUUAAAAAAGUGUUGUUAAAAGAAGUUUUUCCAUUUUGAUAAUACAUCAAUACAUAAACUGAACAUUGAUAGUCAUGGUGACAAUAACCAACGUUUGCAUACAAGCCUAUGGUCGAUUUUCCUACAUGUUAUAGUAACAAAAACAGUAAACUUUAAUGCCUAAAAACAUAUUAAAACAGUAAUCAACCUUCUCCACUAAAAAGUGGAAGCUGAACUUGCAGGAAAAGUUCUUGCCAACAUGAUGAUGGCUAGAAAAAUACUUGUUUACUUUUUAAUCUAUCUUCCAUUCUUAACUGAAAAAAAAAAAAAAGAGUGAGAGUUAGAAGUUAAAACAUAUUUCAUCUAUGUUAAAGGAAAAAAUUAUUUUCAUUACCUUCUCCAUUUCAGCCAGAGAAUAUUUUCUGGCGCCUAAAUAUUCCAGUCCCAAGAAAACUGUGCAUGAUUGCUUAUGUUGGAACAAAAUAGAUGCAGCAUUGAUAUACUCAUCAUCCAAAUGCUGAACUUCAAAAAGAAGUUUUAAUCUUUGAAAACAUUUUUGCAUCAAAAUUGCAGAAUGGAAAGGUGAUUGGAGAGAUGAUUGGGACAGGCAUAUUUGGAAUGAAGCUCCAUUAGAAUUAGAAGAUGAAGCAUGUCUACGACCGGAUGAAGAUGGAAGGGAUGAAGAUGAUCGGGACCCUGAAUAAGGAUGCUUGAAAUAAUACCAAAGCGCAUUAAAGAUUUGGCGGAUUGACUCGAAGUUUUCAAGAAUUCCUUUAUAAAGAAGUCGGAAGCUUUCUGCUUGUUUCUACAAAUUUGUCAUAUAAGAAUAAGCAUUUAGUGACAGGAAGUAAAAAUGAAUCCAUAUUUGCACCAGCUAAACUAAACUAAACCCAUAAUUAAUCCACUUCAAAAAUUCAUUUCAUUAUUAGCUGCUUCAAUUUCACAACAUUUAAAAACCCUAAUUAAUCAAACACAUUUAACAAAAAGACAAUUAUAAUUAAAAUCGAUAGCAACAGUCCAACUAGAAGAAAGGAAAAUCACAGCAAAAACCCUAUUUAAUCAAAACAAGAAAAGACAUAAAUUGGCCAUGAAGGUUUUGAAAACAAGGCCUUUUCAACCACUUACCCGGUGACUGUCGUUCUCUGGUAUCUUUGGGUAGACUGCACCAGUGUCCAAAUCAAAUAUUAAUUCCGGAUUUCCGUUCAUCAUAUCUCUGCAACAAUUUCUAAAGUAGUAGUGUGUAACAUUCAACACGCGUUCAACCUGCCAAGCAUUGGAAAUAUUAUGUCCUUUUGAUCUCCGGUCUAUAAUUUUGUAAUAAAUGAAAUCCUUCCAAAUAAUUUAUUUUCUUACCAUUUCUUUAGUCAUCGAUACUCCUUCUUGAUCUUGUAACAAUUUGGAAAUACGAUAACAUUCCAAUGAACUAAAGAUGUGAUAUCGAUGGCUCCUUUGAAAAAUAGAAUCAGCAGCUAGAACCCUUAAAAGCGUUUGCUUAUCUUCAUGGUGAAGAUUUAAAUCUACUAACUUUUUAUUCUGUUCAUUGUAACCAAAUGUUAGAAAACAAACACAUAACUACAAAUCCAAGAUCUAUUUAAAAUUUAAACUACAAUUUCUCUAUAAGCUAUACUUACCACAGCUGCUUUAUUAGCCAUUUCUGCAAUAUUAGCCAUUUCUUGUUUCUUCUGCUGCAGACCACAAGUUUUCAUUUCUGCUAUAUUAGCCAUUUCUUGUUUCUUCUGCUGCAGACAACAAGUUUUUUGUUUCUUCUGCUGCUGCAGGCAACAAUUUAUCAAUAUGAUUCAUCAGUUUGACUAUUGAUUCAUUUGGCCCAUCAUUCUAAUCAAAUGUUAGAGAACAAAUACAUAACUACAAAUCCAAUAACACCCUUAUAGGUCUCUCUUGUUUGGAUAAAUGGAAAGAAAUAAAUACCACUAACACCAUUGUCUCAUGGCUACCCAUGCUAUUGUCACAAGACUCUAUAUCAUUGUCUCAUUGCUCAAUAGAUGAGAAAAAAUAUAAAGUACUCGAACAUGAUCAUAGAUAAAUUUACACACCUUUUCUCCUGAAACUUUUUGUCUUUCGGAAUAAUUUGUACAAGACCAAGAAUAAGAGCAACAACUUGAACAAGGGUAUUCGCUUGCUUCUCUCUUGUUUAUCAUUUUAAAGGUAGAAGAGUUGCUGGAAAUAGACUCCAUUGUAUCAAAUGAUCAGACAGACACCUAUCACAUAUUUUAAAAAAAACAUUGCAAGAUUAGUUUAAAUUAAUAUUUAAAAGAGAAAGAAACAUUUGGGCCUUUUCAAUGUUGAAAUUUAUUUAUAUCUUAAUGCACUGUCCAAACAAAAACAAAGAAUAUAAUCAAUAUGAAAAUUUGCAAAAAAUUAUUUGAAUUAUAAAAAGCAUAACCAAGCUAAGCAGCAAGCCUUACAACCAACGAAUCAAUAUAAGGGUGUUAACAUGGGAAAUGGGAAGAAGGAAGAAGAAGAGGAAGGUGACAUAGAGUGGUUAUAACUUUCUUUUCAAGCUACCUAGUGAGAGUGAUUAUAACUUUUGAAGUGAUUGCAAAAACACAUCGAGACUUGAUUCGUAGCAGAAAAUAUCUUAUCAUGCAGAGAUCUUAUAUAACCAAGAAAGAAACUUUCUCUGAAAGCUACCUACUGAGUGAUUAUAUGACUAAGAAAGAAAGUUGAAAGCUUCUUAGUAUCAAAAUAAACUAAUAAAAUAAUAACACGUAUUUUAUUAUUAAAAAUUUAUUAAAAAUAAAUAUCAAAAUAUCAACUUCCUUUAUAAAAAGACACUUAUAUAAUUAGUCAAAACUCAAAUUUUCUUUGAAAGUUGCAAAUGUAAUUUUAUUCUAAAAUUACAUCAAAAUCAUAAAAAAAUUUCAUUUAUGACAUUUAUAAAUAUUUACCGUUCUGGAUAUAUAAGAUUAGGGGUUAGACUAGGCGUAACCUAAAAAGCUACUUUAUUGUUGAGUAAGGAACAAAAAUUAUAUACACGGACAAAAAGAUAAAUAUUGUCAUCUUUUACUUUUAACAAAAUUUUAAUCAUACGGUUAAAUAUUUUUUUAUUACCUAUAUUUAUAUUAAUCUUAAGAAUUUAGUGUAUUGAAAUUUAAAGAAAAGUUGUUUAUUUAUGAUCAUGAUUAUUUUUAUUAAAUAAAAAAGAUAGUAUUGCAAAAUAAAACGAAUACAAGAAAAUUGAUUUAUUUUUACUCGGCGACAUAAUAGAAAUGGAUAAAAUUAAUAUUAUUACGUUUGUUUCACUUACUCAACCAUGCACGAUACAAACUUCUGCAUCUUACCAAGUUUCUGACAUUAAAAUCUAUGAUCGAAGCACCACGAAAUCUCCUACCACAAACCAACCAUAAACUUUUUAUUCUUCUCUUCCAUUGUCUCUCUGUUGGCAACACAGAAUAGCAGUGACCAAAUACAACAUUUGCAGUUAUACAUUUCGUGAAGAUUUCGCAGUUGGUCCUUCUUUCAUCAUACUCAUUGCUUUGGUCUUGAAACCAUGUGCUCAGAUUUCUGUUCACAUUGGAAAAAAAGUUUUGAAAUACCAAAAACAAGGAAUGCUUGAAAACAAUUUAUUUAAUUUCAUACACUAAUGAUGGGAGAUUGUUAGUGUAUGAGAAGGAAACGUCAGCAGCUUAACAGUUAGCCUAACUGUUUUAUCAGUUAGGAAUAAAGGGGAACGGGUUGGUAUAAAUAGAAAGAGAGAGUAGAAGGGAGGACAAUUUAGACUUUUGUAUUCUUUAACAAGAAUUCGUUAUUCCUGUAGGGGGAGGUUAGGCUCCCAGACUACAUUUUUUCGUUGUAUUCUUGCAAUAAAUAAUAUCAGAGGAGGUUAUACAGAGUCUUGGGUGUUGAUUCUGGUGUGUGUUUGUGAUAAUUCUUUAGGUUUCUCGAUUAGAAACAUAUCAUUUGGCCCGACCUGCCGGAUCAAAAUUUGGGGAACGACGUGAGGAUGGAGAAUGCGACGGAGGCACGAUUAGAAGCGAUUGAGAUAACGGUGGAGGGGAUGAAGGCUGAAUCGGCGGGGGUACGACGGGAUUUACAANAAAUUAUGAAAAUGCUGGAAAAACAGGGCAAUCAAAUGGAGAACAGUUCGGAUGGUAGCUCCGUGAAUGAUAAUAGACACAGAGGGAUUGGGGAGACCAGAGGCGGUGGAAACGGCGAAAGGAGUGAGGAACAAAAAUCGUGGAGGAAGAGAGUUGAGUUACCCACCUUCGACGGCGAGGAGCCCCUAAGUUGGCUCAACAGAGCUGAAAGGUUUUUCGAUAUACAAAAGGUGACGACCGACGAGGAAAGGGUGGAGGUCGCUUACGUGAGCAUGGAAGGGAGUGCAGCGUACUGGUUCACUUUUUGGAAGGAGAAGGCCAGAAACCGCUCGUGGGACGGGUUGAAAGCAGCCAUGAUCAAUCAAUUCGGUGGAGGAUUUAGAGUAACCGUGUUCGAACGACUGGCUACUCUACGCCAAGAAGGAACGGUAGAAGAAUUUGUUCGUAAUUUUGAAGUUUUGAUGGGGCAAACGAGAGGAAUACCUGAAGAAGAAGUCCUGGGUUAUUUCUUGGCUGGAUUACGAGAAGACGUGAAGGGUCAGGUGCGGAUUCAGAACCCGUCGGAUUUAAUGGAGGCAAUGAGGAUAGCGCGUGAUGUGGAGGACGCGAUGAUGAGAGCAUCAGGAGGCCAUGCUAGUGGGUUCAAGAUAAACCCAUUUGGUUUGAGAUCUUCAAGGAUGGUGACGCGAUCGGAACCUUCUCGGACUACGACGUACCAACCAGGAAGAUUCGAGAAUGGAGGAUCGGCAAGGAACAAUGGUGCGGUGAUGACGAAUGCUAAUGCGAGGAGGAACAAUGCUAUUGGGAACGAUAACAGAGGGCGAAUGGUGAGGAAUCUGCCUUACCCGAAAUUUCUCAAAUGAAAGGAAGAGGGUCGUUUUUUCCGAUGCGGGGGCCCGUUUGCACCAGGUCAUCGAUGCACCGAGAGGAGUUUGAGGGUACUGUUGCUAGCAGAGGAUGAAGAGGGAGAAGAGGGGGGAGGUGGUCGGCGAUAAGGAGGAAAAGCCCAUGGAAUUUUCUGCAUGUUCGGCGGAAGGGCUGACCACUCCACGAACCUUGAAAUUGAGGGGAAAAAUUGGAGAACGAAGCGUGGUGGUGCUGAUCGACAGUGGCACAAGCCACAAAUAUAUCAGCCGGAAGGUAACAGAGGAAUUGAGAUUACCAGUGACUGACACCCGUGCGUAUCCGGUGAGUUUGGGUGAUGGGCAUAGACGAGAGACUCGAGGACGAUGCGAGAAGGUGACGGUGAGGUUGAAGGAGGUUGAUAUAGAUGAGGAGUUUUAUGUGUUUGAGUUGGGUGGCGUUGAUGUAAUUAUUGGUGUUGUAUGGCUGGCGAAAUUAGGAGAUGUCAAGACUAAUUGGGGAAGCAUGACGAUGGAGUAUAAUAUGGAAGAUAAGAAGAUCAGGAUAAGGGGCGAACCAGCCUUGUCACGACAGCUGGUAAAAUUUGGAUCAUUGCGGAAGAUGGCGGAUGCGGAAUCAUGGCCGAUGGUGUGGGAUUUAAGCACAGUGGAAAUAGAGCAGGAUGGUGAGUGGGAGACAGAUUUGAAAACAUAGCAGAAAGUGGCAUUGGCAACUGUGUUGCAGGCGCAUUAUCAUUUGUUCCGAGACUUGCAAGGAUUACCUCCCUCACGUGAUAAACAACACAGAAUACAACUGAAGGAAGGUAACGACCCUAUAAAUGUAAGGCCAUAUCGGUAUCCUCACAUACUGAAAAGUGAGAUUGAAAAACAAGUAGAAGAUAUGUUGAAGGCCGGAAUCAUACGCCCCAGCUCUAGUCCAUUUUCCAGCCCGGUUAUCCUCUUAAAGAAGAAGGAUGGGAGUUGGCGCUUCUGUGUAGAUUACCGGGCAUUAAACAAGGCCACAGUAUCGGACAAAUUCCCUAUUCCGGUGAUAGAAGAGUUAUUGGACGAACUAAAAGGUGCCAGGUAUUUUUCUAAAAUCGAUUUAAAAUCUGGGUACCACCAGAUCAGGAUGGAAGAAGAAGACAUGGCCAAAACAGCAUUUCGCACGCACUUGGGUCAUUUUGUGUUCUUGGUCAUGCCGUUUGGCCUCACGAAUGCGCCGACAACUUUCCAAAGCACGAUGAAUAGUCUAUUGCAGCAAUAUCUUAGGAAGUGGGUGUUGGUGUUCUUUGAUGACAUUCUCGUUUAUAGCCCAAGUUGGGAAGACCACCUGAAGUAGUUAAGUUUGGUGAUGCAGCUAUUAGAACAGAAAGGGUGGGUGGCCAACCAGAAGAAAUGCGAUUUUGGGAAGAAAAGGAUUCGUUACUUGGGGCAUCAAAUCUCUAAACAAGUGGUGGAAAUGGACAGUGAAAAGAUUAAGGCAGUGGUGGAAUGGAGAGAACCUAGAAACUUUAAGGCUUUGAAAGGUUUUCUGGGAUUGACUGGAUAUUACAGACGUUUUGUAGAUGGGUAUGGGAAGAUAGCACAACCCCUGACAGAGUUAUUAAAAAAGGGGAAGUUUGCUUGGUCAGAUCAGGCGAGGGCAGCUAUGGAGAAUUUGAAGGCUGCUAUAACCUCUACUCCAGUCUUAACGUUGCCGGACUUUAAUCAGGAAUUCUAGAUUGAAUGUGAUGCUUCAGGAGGAGGGGUGGGAGUUGUGUUGACCCAAAACAAGAAACCCAUUGUUUUUUUCAAUAAGGCACUUUCGAGAGGUUCUUUGAGUAAAUCAGUUUAUGAGAAAGAGCUGAUGGCAUUGGUGUUAGCCAUCCAACAUUGGAGGCCUUACUUGGUGGGAAGGAGGUUUACGGUAUACACUGACCAGCGUAGUUUAAAGUACUUGAUGGAGCAAAGGAUAACCACACAGAGCCAGCAGAACUAGUUGGCGAAGCUUAUAGGGUAUGAUUUUGAAAUAUUAUACAAAAAGGGAAGUACCAACAAGGUGGCAGAUGCACUCUCACGAAGAGAUGAAGGAGAGAUAGAGGGAAGAGAGCUCCAGGUGAUAUCCAGACCCUUCUGGUCAGACUUUCAAGAGCUUGUAAGAGAAGUGGAGGAGGAUGAAGCAUUAAAAAGGGUGAUUGCUGACAUUCGUAGAGAUCCCAAUUCCCAUGCGGCAUACACUCUAGAAAAUGAUAGACUGCAUUAUAAAGGAAGAAUGGUGCUAUCAACUGAGUCGGUGUGGAUUCCUAAAUUACUAGUAGAGUUUCACAUGACCAAAACAGGAGGACACUCGGGGGUGUAUUGUACAUAUAGGAGGAUAGCCCAAUCCUUGUAUUGGGUAGGUAUGAAAAAGACGAUUACUGAGUUUGUUGCUAGUUGUGUCGUCUGCCAACAGCAUAAGUAUAUGGCAACAUCCCCUCAAGGGCUACUACAGCCAUUACCCAUACCUCAAGCGGUGUGGGAGGAGAUAAGUUUGGACUUUAUUGUGAAAUUACCGAGGUCGCAGGGGCAUGAUGUUAUUCCAGUUGCAGAGAUAUUUACCAGGGAGAUUAUCAAAUUGCACGGAAUUCCGGUCUCAAUUAUAAGUGAUAGAGAUCCAUUGUUUUUGAGCAUUUUUUGGAGAGAGUUGUUCAAAGCAUUGCCUAUCACCCUGAAACAGAUGGGCAAACAAAGGUGGUUAAAAGGAUAGUUAAAGGGUAUUUAUGUUGUUUUUGUUCAGAACAACCCAAGAAUUGGUAUGCAGUAUUGCCUUAGGCAGAAUACUGGUAUAACACCAGUUACCGGGGCUCAGCUAAGUGUACACCAUUUGAAACCGUGUAUGGCAGAGCCCCUCCAUCCUUUAGCAGAUUUAUACCUGGAGAAACACCGGUGGAGGCCAUGGCCCAGGACUUGAUGACACAUGAUGAGGCCCUUAGACAGCUGAAAUUUCACUUGAAUAGGGCCCAAGAUCUAAUGGUACAGCAGGCUAACAAGAAGAGGAGAGAGGCAGAUAUCAAGGUGAAUGAUUGGGUCUAUUUAAAGAUCAGACCUCACCGACAAUCUUCGAUGCCAAUGAGGCUGCAUCCAAAGCUUUCAGCCCGCUAUUUUGGUCCUUUCCAAGUGCUACAGCAGAUAGGCAAUGUGGCUUUGAGACUGAAGCUACCAGAGACCGCAAGAAUUCAUGCGGUAUUUCACGUGUCCCAGUUGAAAAAGGCGGUGGGGGAGCAAAUAGUAGAAAAAGGACUGCCAGAGGAGCUGCAGGCAGAGGGGCCCAGUUUUUAGCCAAUAAAAGUCUUGGACAGGAGGCAAGUUCAACAGGGAGAGGAGUUAUUGAACCAAGUUCUGGUGUAAUGGCAAGAAGGGGGUAAGGAGGGUGCUACUUAGGAAGACGAAGCUACCAUUCAGGAUCAAUAUCCUGAGUUCAACCUUGGGGACAAGGUUGUCGGAGGGAGAGGGAGUAAUGAUAGGAGAUUGUUAGUAUAUGAGAGGAGAAAGAAACGUCAGCAGCUUAACAGUUAGCCUAACUGUUUUAUCAGUUAGGAAUAAAGGGGAACGGGUUGGUAUAAAUAGAAAGAGUGAGUAGAAGGGAGGAAAAUUUAGACUUUUGUAUUCUUUAACAAGAAUUCGUUAUUCCUGCAGGGGGAGGUUAGGCUCCCAGACUACCUUUUUUCAUUGUAUUCUUGCAGUAAAUAAUAUCAGAGGAGGUUAUACAUAGUCUUGGGUGUUGAUUUUGGUAUGUGUUUGUGAUAAUUCUUUAGGUUUCUCGAUUAGAAACCUAUCAUAACAUCCAAAAAAUCUCUUAUCUUAUGUGUAUAUAAAUUCAUGUUCAUCUCUGAUUUUAUCUAUUGUGAGACUUUGUUUGUAUCCAAUUCAUAAGAGUGUUUUUCCUUAUUCAAUUUUUCCAUCUAUUGAUUAUUGUUUUGGGCAACAAAAUCUUACAGAAAAAAGGAAUAAGAAGCAACUGACCUGUUCUGAAUGAGGCAAAUAUUUCCCAUCAAAUGUCACUACCACACGAUCCUUCCCAUUCACUCCUUUAAUUUUGUCAACUGAGCAGUAGAAAUCUAUUGCUGGCAUGCUAAACAUGAGAUGAAAAAAAAAUGAUGAGAAAGAAAAUCUUCAUCUUCAUAUUUUUUAUUUAUGAUAUUAAUAUUUAUUCAUUCAUUUAUAUAGUUUGAUCAGUGUGCCUUGUUUUAUCACCUCUAACAUCAAACUCAAAAUCGUCUAAAAAAUAUACUAUUAAAAUCAAUUUUAUCAGAAGUGUAAUAUGUUAACUUGGAUGGGCAUAAAAUGAACCAAUUUAUCAGAAGCAGUAAGAAGAAAACACUGAAACUUUCCGAAAAUUAGGAUGUCUUUGUGUGUCUUGUCUGAAAUCCCCCUACAACUCCAUAAAUCAACAAAUCAUUUUAUAAUAUGAUACUUCCCUUGGCCCUAGGUUUCUGAACUUUGCUGUACAAGAGGAUUUAAUAUGAGUAUUAAAUCUUCAAUUAUUGGUGGUUAAAAUUGUUGGACCGUGAUUGCAAACAGGAAACCAUGAUCAUAGGACUAUCUAAUGUAUCAAUUGAAGAUGCCCUCUAAGCUUUUCUGCAGUUUGCCCAAGUUUCACAACAAAGAAGUCUUGAUUUAUCACCUAGCUUCAGCACAUGCUUAGUGCACAUUUAGGUUCAUAGCUUAAUACGAAAAGAUGUAUAUAACCAACUGCAAGAUCAGAAAAUAACACACCACCAGUAUAAAAGAUUUUUACACUUGCAUUCAAUAAAUUAUGUUUUGACACACUAUUAACAACUAACAACUUGACAUAAUUGAGUGAAUAUUAAAACAAGCUUUAAUUAAUCAUUUAGUUCGUCAAAUUGGGUAAACAUGAUCCUUCAAGUCUUACCCAAUCAAUGCCCAUCAUCCUAAUUCCAUCCAAUAUUUAAAUAUUUGGUAGAAUCCAAUUGGCGCAAUUGGAAUAUGAAGAACCAAAAUUGCAUAAUGGUGAUAACCUCUCACUUAACAUGCAAUUAAGCCUAAAAAAGUAAUCAAUGAAUUUGUUCAUGAUUAUACUCCCAAUAACUCAUUUCACCGUACACAACAGAUACACUUUUCCACUACAAAUUGAAGUAUAAAAAAGAAGAACUAUGAUGUAUUAUACAAUUUUUUUGGAAGAAACUUAUAUUCAUCACUUAUUACGCUACACUACAUGAUACACUUAUCGUUAGUUUGGAAGCCAACACAAAUCUUUUUACAUAAUUUUCUUUUUUAACUUUUUGAGUCUCUUUACAUUCAUCUUUUAUAUUCAGGUUGUCAUUUAUAAAUCCCAUCACAUUUAUCCUUUCUAUUCAAAUUCAUGUUAAAAAAUCUACGUAAUUUAUUUACUUAGCCUAGCUUAGAAAAUAGAACAGGUAUUCAAACUUAAUAAGUUAUUUUAAGUUGAAAUUUGGAAUGCAAAAUUGUGUCACCUAUUGAGAAAGAGAGUUUAUCUUUCAUAAUAGAUUAUUUUAUCACAAAUACCUUUCAUAAAUUAUAGUCCUUGAAAAAUAAUUGCUUGUUCCUCCAAAACUAGUUUAUUUAUUCUGACUUUCUAGACAUCUUAAAGUUCAUGCACGGUUAUAGAAUAUGAUUAUAGAAAGUUUCGUUUUGUAGAGGCAUCUUUACUAAAAUUACGAUUUGAUAAGAAUUAUUCAUAAAGUCAUGAAAAGUAUUUUAGAUUAAACUAAAUCUAUAACAAUCAUUCUAUUAAACCAAACCACCCAGUUUUAUUAUGUGGACAAAGUACAUGAUGAUAGGAAAGAAACAUUCAGGUACAGGAAAGGAAAGACAAACAUUCAGACUUGUUACAUUAGAAAAGGAAACAUGCUUCCAAUCCUAAUCUUACAUUAAAGAGAAAGAAAACAAACAUUGGAAAUGAAACCCUUAUUAUGACGAGGCUAAGGUGGUUGAUGCAUGAGAGUGAAGGCCUGUUUAGCUGACAGGCAAAAUGCCUCUAAGAACGGGCCAACCAUCAAGGAUAGGCGUGACAUCACCGACAAGAGUGUCAUCAGUUUUACCUGGGGUGAAAAUGAUUCGCACAUACUUGUCUCCUUUGAAAAGGUAAGCUUCAGACUCCUUAUGAGAAGCAAAACAAGCAUCGAUUCCAUUUUCAAAGAUGGUACCUUUCAGAAUAGGAAACCCAUCAGUGAUGUUGCGAAUGUUGCCAACAAGCUGCUUCGAAUCAUAGGCUAUGCUAACAUACUAAAUGCAGAGUCUAUGCCAUCCGCAAACACCGUGUUUCUGAGGAUAGGAAACAUUUGAGCAACAGUGGUAGGACCUGCGAGUAUCUUGUCAUUUGGUGUACCUGGAGCAUAGUCAAUGUAGGCACAGAGGUUGCCGGAAAACACAUAUGCUUCACUCGCUUCAGUGUCAAAGGAACAGUCUAUUCCAGGUUCUGCAAAUGGCGUUCCUGCAAGUGAUGGAAAACCACUACUAAUCAAACGCAGACUGGUCAAAAUCUUGUCAUCAGUUCCUCCGGGAAUAUAAUGCAACCUCACAUAAUUGUUCUUGGCGAAGAAAUACACUUCAUAUUCUCUUGAUGAACGAAAUGCAGCAUUGAUGUAAGGAAGGUUUGACAUUUUUCUUAACACAAGAAGAGGGACUAAGGUAGAUAUAAAGAGUGGAAGAGAGAGAGAUAUGAUUUGAUUAAGGGAU